UCCGGCGUGGUGCGGCCGUUCAUGUGGUCGCGCUGGCGUGCUCUGACCGCACACGCGUGUAAGAGCAGUGGAGGAGUGGGAUGGAAACCCUGAAUGGAAUGUGAGGGCAUCGCGCUAUCGCUGGAUGGGAGGGAUUGGUUGGUUGGAGAUCUCGCGGAUAUCUCGUCGUACGUGGUCGGGAUGCAAUCUGAUAGGCGGGCCUUCUCAGGGUCUUGAGAAAUGUUAAUUUGCAUUGAUUGCAAUCGGGGUGCUGGAUUCUGUGGCGCAAACAAAAAAAUGGCCCGGAAGAAAGGAAUCAGUCUCUUCAGUCCAGCUCACCCUAUUAUCAUUAACAUAUUGUCAUUAAUGAAACUAUUUUGACCUUGAAGCAUGUUAUGCAAAGGCUUGAUAUAAUUGAAAAUAAAAUUUCCACUAAAUAACAAAUUGAGGAGUUGGAUAAAAUAUUCAUACUAAUAUCACUCAAUUUGGAUCAAAGGUAGGAUUUACUUUGAAAGCAUUAAAGGAGAAAGAUACAAUUAUUAAUGAGCGCGUAGAGCAAGAUUUGAGUAUUUUAUAUAAUGGAGGAAGUCACUGAUAAAGUGGGUUAUGCUUCCACACCCUCUAAAAUUAAUGCUAUUACCUCUCAAAGAAAAAUUCCAAGGUUAUGUAUGUCCCUAAGAACACUAGUAUCACUCCUAUCAAAAGAAAGAAGGAUAUUAAAAUGAUUAGUGUGCAUCCCAAUUUUAUAAACAUGAUAAGAGACCCUAUCUUCAAGCCUCCUAUUUUUUCUAAGAAGCAUGGUUGUGUGAUUGAGGAGUUUGACAAGAAUACAACACUUGAAACUAUGCAUUAUGAAUAACUAGGGGCGUAAAACGAUAGCGCUUGUUAAGAAGCAACCCAAGAGUCAUCUUAAUUUUAUUGUUCUAUUUUCUGUUUUGUGUGAGGUAACAUGAUUAUUGAUACUGUAAUUAUUGUGUUUUUAUGUUUAAAUUAGUGUUUGUGUUAAGUAAAGCCUUUUGGAUGAUUUGAAUGAUAAGUAGAAUUGAAACGGUGCAAAAACAGAAACUUUUGCGUCUAGUGCAGAAUUUCUCUAAUUUUACUGGAACAUCUUUUUGAUAUGAAUUUUUUACACAAUAUUGGUAUACAAAUUUUGCAGGUUUUCUUGACUUUUCAGAAUUACAGGAGUUAUAGAAGUAGGUUGUCUUUGGUGAUCACUACAGACUGUUCUGUUUUAGACAGAUUCUAUUUUUACUUGCAUAGUUUGCUUGUUUUGAUGAUGCUAUUGAUUAUAUCGAGGGGUAUAAUUCAUGGAGAAGUUAUAAUACAAUACCUUAUGCAAUAAUAAAAUAUGAAUCAAUUUAUAAUAGCACCCAAUGUUUAUGGUUCGCCUAUCCUACUAACAGAUCUCACGAGAUUUCUGUUGAGUUUUGUGUGGUGAAAUUUUCAAGUUUUGGGUGUUAUCACGAUGGACGGAGGAAUAAGGAGCGAAAAAGAGACUAAGCUUGGGGAUGCGCAAGUAACCACGAGUUAAAUUCUAGGAAGACUCAAGCGUCUAAGCUUGAGGAUGCCCCGGAAGGCAUCCCCUCUUUCGUCUCAAUCAAUCGACAUGUCACUUGAAGAUAUAUUUUUAUUCAUCAUAUGAUAUGAGUUUUGCUUGGAGCGUCGUUUAUUAUAGUUUGCUUUUGUUUUAAUUUCCCACAAUCAUUGUUUACUGGACACACCCACUUGAUAUAGACACAUGUUCAACAUGAUUUGUUAGAAUACUCUAUGUGUUUCACUUAUAUCUUUUGAGCUAAGCAGUUGCUCUAGCACUUCACUUAUAUUUUGUAGAGCACAGUGGCGUAUAGAUUUCUAGAAAUCAUUGCACUCUCGUUCUUCACUUAAACAUGUUUGAGAGUUAAUAAAUAGUGACGAUAAUUAAUAUGUGUUGUAAGACUAGUUAAAAAAUAAUAGGUAUUCAAGGAGUGCAUAAUCAAAUCCUUCAUGUAGCACAUAAAAGAGAAUUUGUGAGUUAAUGAUAUUGAUAUGCUAAUAUGAAAAGGGCGUGAGUGCAUGGUUGUUGGUUAGUAAAUAUAUCGAUAGUUAAAGGGUGUUAAUUUUUUUUGUUCAUCUAAAUAUUGGCUAUGGCAUGGUGAUGAUGUGUGAGCAUUCUUAUUCCUCAUUGAAAUCCUAGUGUUGUUUAGGUCGGGGGCGCGCGAUGGAUAACUCCUACCAACCUCCUCCCUAGGGGCAUGUGAGUAGUACUUUGCUUAGAGAAAUCUAAUAAAAUAUUGUGAUAAGUAUACGAGUUCUUAUGGCUAACGUGAAUCCAUGGAUCUACGGCAUCUCACCUCCUCAUGUUUGCUAGCCUCUUCGAUAUCAUGCGUUCUCACUCUCACCUCAAGGAUCGGUGCAAACUUCGGCCGUGCAUCCAAAUCCAACGACAUGAUACACUAUGUUGCACAUAAGACACCUUAUAUCUUCCUCAAAACAGUCACCAUACCUACUUAUCAUGACAUUUCCAUAUCCAUUCCGAGAUAUAUUGCCAUGCAACUUCCACCAUUACAUCAUAUGACUAGUACACUCAUUGUCAUAUUGCAUUGCAUGAUCAUGCAGCUGACAUAGUAUUUGUGACAAAGCCACCGUUCAUCAUUGUUAUAAAUGUUACGCUAGACCAUUGCACGUAUUGGUACACUGUCAGAGGCAUUCGUAUAGUCAUAUUGUUUAGUAGUUUUUUAUUGAGUUGUAAGUAAAUAGAAGUGUGACGCUUUUCAUUAUUAGGGCACUUUCUAAGUGAGGAAAGGAUGAUGGACACUAUGAAUCCCCACAAGUCGAGAUGAGACUCCGGACAAAAAAUAAAAUGAAAAAAUGAAAAAAAAAANNNNNNNNNNAGGAAAAAAUAAAUAAGACAAAAGAGAAGGGACAAUGCUACUACCUCUUUUUCCACGCUUGUGCUUCAAAGUAGCACCAUGUUUUUCAUAUAGAGUCUCAUGUAUUUGUCACUUUAAUAUGCUAGUGAGGUUUUUUCAUUAUAGAAAUUGACUUGUGUAUUCCGAUGACAGGCUUCCUCAAAUACCCGAGGUCUUCAUGAGCAAGCAAGUUGGAUGCACACCUACUCAAAUUCAGUUGAGCUUUCAUACACUUAUAGCUCUAGUGCAUCCUUUGCAUGGCAAUCCCUAUUCCACACAUUGAUAUUGACUGAUGGAUGUACCCAUAGCCCGUUGGUCCACCUAGUUGAGGCGAGACUUUCUUCUCCAUGUUUACCCCUUUGAAAACUACCACCAUAUUCUAUUCCACCUAUAUGCUAUGUCCAUGGUUCACACUCGUGUAUUGAGUGAGUAAUAAAAAGCCGAAGCACGUUAAGAAGUAUGACCCAAUUGCUUGGCUUAACACCGUGGUGCUUGAAAUUUAUAUUUAUGUGGUAAAGACGGAGCCAUGCCAUGCUAAUAUGUUAAAAUGAAUGGGGGUUAAACAAUCUUUAAAGAUCAUAUAUUUUGAAAAUUGAUGAUUAUGUUACCUAUGUUCAUGGAUAUUACUAUGUUGUUGUUUGUUAAUUCAUCAUUUCUCAAUGACAAUAUGUGCAAGAGAUUACAUGUUGGGUAGCAUGUCACAUCAAAAUUUAUGUUUUUAUCAUUUACCUACUCGAGGAUGAGCAUGAAUUAAGUUUGGGUUUAUGUUAAUACUACUCAUGAGAUUAUAUUGAGUUCCUUGCUGGUCUAUGCAUAUAUAUGCAUGAUUAUGAUAGCUUCAUAAUUCUUUCUGAUCUAUUGAUUUGGUUUGGCGGAUUGAUUUAUCUUCAGCGGGAGAGGUGCGUUGUAGUGGGUUAAGUCUUGCGGUGAUCAAUCCCACUGAUAGAAAGGGACAUGACACACAUUGUAUUACUGCCACUAAGGGUAAAACAAUGGAGUUGAUUCAUGUUAAUUGGAUUUGCUUUGUCUACAUCAUGUCAUUGUUCUCCAAGCAUUACUUUUUCCACUUAAUACUCUAGAUGCAUGUUGGAUAGCGGUCGAUGGGUGGAGUAAUAGUAGUAGAUGGCAGCAGUCGGUCUACUUGCUUACGUACAUGACGCCUACAUGUAAUGGUCAUUGCCAUGAAUAAAUAUUUCAUAAUUAACUACUUUUCUAUCAAUUGCCCAACAGUAAUUCGUAUACCCACCGUAUACUUUCUACGUGAGAGAAGUCUCUAGCGGAAACUUUGGCCCCCAGGUCUAUUCACAUAUGUAAAUACAAAAAAUACAAAAUCACUUGUUAUUCUUAUUUUCUUUCUAUUUAUUUUUCAUUUAUAUUUAUCAAACUAUCCAACCAUGCUACUUAUUACUUGCAAGUAACGAGUUCAAGGGGAUUGACAACCCUCCUACCAGUGUUGGGUGCAAGUGUGUGUGCUCUUUUGAGUGCGGGUGCUGAAGACGGGAAAUUUCAUGGUCCUCCUAUUGGUUCGAUAACCUUGGUUCUCGCUGAGGGAAAAGCCUACGUCUUGAUUUGUGUGUAUUGAUGAUGAUGAUCUCAAUUACAAGGGUGCGGAAUCGCUACCUCUAGUCUCGAGGGUUUCUAAUAUGUCUAUCUCUAAUGGUUUGUCUUGUCCAGACUUAAAUUGUUCCCCUUGGGGUGCCUUGCCACUCCCUGUAUAAGUUGAAGGGGUAGGCUUACAUAGAGUCCUACUAGGACUAGGAUUAGUCUCUCUUGAAUCCUAAUCCGGGUCUUGCUUCUCUUGUGAGGGAAUGUUUCCUCUUCCUAGGCCUUCUCUAUGAGCCAACCCUCCAGGCCUCUCCAAGAGUUGCCUUUCACCGGCUUGCACACUGGGCCUUAGUCCUUGUCGUCUAGGUCGACCCAGCGAGCAAGGUGACGUAUGAGCCACCAACCUCCUGGCUGGUUCAAAUCGUGGGGUAUAUCCUCAAGAGAGGGUCUCUACAUCAUCCCCGCUUCUCCAAUGGUGAUGUGUGAGUAAUUGACCACAAACCUGUUGGAAACAUGCCCUAGAGACAAUAAUAAAUUGCUUAUUAUUAUAUUUCCUUGUUCAUAAUAAUCGUUUAUUAUCCAUGCUAGAAUUAUAUUGAUUGGAAACUCAAAUACAUGUGUUCAUGCAUAGACAACAUACUGUCCCUAGUGAGCCUCUAGUCGACUAGCUCAUUGAUCAAAGAUGGUCAAGGUUUCAUGGCCAUAAACAAGUGUUGUCACUUGAUAACGAGAUCAAAUCAUUAGGAUAAUGAUGUGAUGGACAAGACCCACACUAUGAACGUACCAUAUGAUCGUGUCAGUUUAUUGCUAAUGUUUUCUGCAUGUCAAUGUAUCUGUUCCUAUGACCAUGAGAUCAUGCAACUCCCGGACACCGGAGGAAUACCUUGUGUGUAUCAAACGUCGCAACGUAACUGGGUGACUAUAAAGGUGAUCUACAGGUAUCUCCGAAGGUGUCUGUUGGGUUAGCGUGGAUCAAGACUGGGAUUUGACACUUCGUGUGACGGAGAGGUAUCUUGGGGCCCACUUGGUCAUACAACAUCACAAUGAGCCUCGAACGAAAUGUGACUAAGGAGUUAGUCAUGGGUUCUUGUAUUGCAUAACAAGUAAAGAGACUUGCGAGUAACGAGAUUGGACUAGUUAUAGAGACACCGACAAUCGAAUCUCGGGCAAGUAACAUAUCGAUGGACAAAGGGAACAACGUACGUGAUUAACUGAAUCCUUGACAUAGAGGUUCAACCGAUAAAGAUCUUCAUAGAAUAUGUAGGAGCCAAUAUGAGAAUCCACGUCCAGCUAUUGGUUAUGGACCGAAGAAUGUCUCAGGUCAUUUCUACAUAGGUCUCGAAACCGCAGGGCGUGCACCCUUAAGGUUAGGUGACAUUUCAGUAUUAUUGAAUUAUGUGUGUUGGUAACCGAAAGUUGUUCGGAGUCACAGAUGAGAUCCUGGACGUCAUGAGGAGCUCCGGAAUGGUCCGAAGGUAAAUAUUUAUAUAUAGGAAAGUUGCAUUUGGCUUCCGAAAAGUUUUCGGGCAUUACCGGUAAAGUACCGGGAGUGACAAAUGGGUUCCGGGGUUUUUACCGGGAGGGGCCACCCACCCAGGAAAGAACUUAAUAGGCCUAAAGGUGGUGCACCCGCCCUUAGUGGGCUGGUGCGUCCAGCCUAAGAGGGCCUAUUUUGGCCAAGGAACAAAAGAAGGGGAAAACCCCAAAGGAGAGGAGGUUUCUGUGACAGCCCGAUGCCGACGUUCCAGAAGAUUCCCCUUUUCUUUCCGUUUUCGUCGUGUGUCUAUUUUCUUUUGUCGCAUCAUUAUCGCAUCAUGCACAUCAUCUGCAUUGCAUCGGCACCCCGUUGCCGCCAGUUUUCAAAACAUGUGUCCGUUGUUAGUUGCCGGUUCUCGUCGUUGUCCGUUCUGAGCCCGACCGCACACGCACGCGCCCGCGGCACCGUCGAAACCCUGUUUUUAAAGUGUGCAUAAAACUUUCUCUGAUCGGGGUGAGAUUUGACGUGAGGUAUUAUUUUAAUAUAGGUAGGCCACCUGUCAAAUUUCGUCGCGAUCGGGGUUAGUGUGGUACCCGAACGGUCGACCGUAGCGGCACCGUAUUCAGUCUAUCGUCGCACGUGUCCCGGUGUUUUAAAUCGCGUUGCCGCGCCGCCCGUUUUCCAUGUCGUCUCUGGAUAACUACUCUACACAAGCCACCGAACCUAACCCGAAGAUCAGAGCCGUCCGAUUGUGAUUGAACGGCUCGGAGCAGGCUAAAAAUAGCUAACCUACCCUAUUGCCUAUAAAUACCCCACUCCUAGCCUAUUUUGGACAAACCCUAAAAUCUAGGGAUCUGUCCCGUUGAGGCCGCCGCCACUUCAAGGAAUCCCUCGGGAUCCAUCUCAGGCAAACCUCCACCUCUCCCUUGAUCUGAUCCAGCCAACCCCCAAAGCCAGCCCGUUGACCAUCUAUGCCUAUCGGAUCUAGAGAUCCAAUGGAUACCAGCAGCUGCGGGACGGAACGCCUCGUCCCCGCAUCCCGUGCCUCGAUCCAGAGAGGAUCUAGAGCAACGCCAGGACGCCGCCGCGCGUAGUGCACCAACGUCAACCAGUUUCGGAGCCGGCCGCCGGACGCAAGCCAGAGAUCGCCUCCCUUGCCCUCUCUCCCUGUUCCCCCAUAUUUUUUUCUCAUCUCUCCGUGUGCUCGUUUCUUCUACAAGGAGCAGAACGGGAGACCGCCGACCGUGCCCCUGUCUGUCUUUUGCGAGAGAAGCACCGAGCCAGCACCGGCCCCUGCAUCUCUCUCUUCUCUGCAUCUUCAGGUGCAGCCAACGGAGGCCAUGGAGCUCGAGCCGCCCUUGCCCGGAUCCGCGUCAUCCCCAAGCCCCGCGACUCCUCCACCUGCACGAGAUCAUGUCGAUGAUGUCUUCGUUCCAUUCCCGGCCUCCCAGCUCGCCGUCUUCGCCGGAGCAUCGCGCCGCCGGCCCCUAGUUCCCCGUGGAGAGCAGCCAAAGUCACCCCUAUACGUGCUAGUUUCAGCAAGGUACACAGACAUACCCUGUUUCAGAUGCAGUUUUGUUCAGGUUUACAUUCAGCAUGGUUGUGUGCUCAUCUACAGAAGGAACCCACUUUUAACACGAACCCAUUUGUAGCUCAGUUGGUCACAAUGUUGCACCUACACCCAGUAGACUAGGGAUCGAAUCCCAGUGGCUCCAAUAUAGUUUUUUAGCGUUUUGCGUUGUCAUUCACCAGCUAUGCAUAUUAGGUAUAACCAGGCGAAUGCAUUAUGUAGCACAAGGACAUAUCUAGCCCACUGGUGACACAUGCUAGGACACCGAAGGAGGUCUUGGGUUCGAAACCUGGACUGCCCCUAUUAUUUUUGCUUUUGUGCCAUGUUUGAUUUUCGUUUUGCACACCCAAGCAAGUGGGCACAGAGCUCCCAGUGGCUGCAGCCCAGUGCACAGAUUCGGCCCAUACGUUUUUUUAUUUUAUUUUAACCUGCAAUUUUAUUUAUUUUUAGAAAAACGCAUUGAUUUUCAAAAGAGCGUAGUUUCUAAACCGUGCGACGGAUCAGAAUGGGUUAUAUAUGUAGAACGUGUAGAAUUUUAUGUAGAUUAAUAUUUUUCAACUUUCAUGCAUAAUUAGAACUGUUUAGUGUGAUGUUUACCUCGUUUUGCAUGUCGACAUGUUGAAACGGUUUAGGUCGUAACUAUUUGUCCGUAGCUCCGUUCGAGAUGUGCCAUAUAUGUAAAUGGAGCAGAACGACGAGUAGAAUCACGUGAAUCACUUUGUUUUGCCGUUUAACAAACCUAAAAUGUUAUUAUGACAAGUCUGGACAGAAUUAAGAUUUAACAUGUGGGGUCAUUUCAGAGAUGCUAUAUGUCGUUUCCGGUCUCAUUUAAAAUGUCUAGCUAGGUAGAUUAAUUUGUGCUUCACCCUCGUGCCAUGUUUAAUAACAUUUAAUAUAGUCAUGUACCUGAACGGGAGCGAACUAAAUAAUUAGAGUGGAGUUUCGUCGAUAUGCAACUCGUUGCAUACCGAGCUUCACUUAAUGUGUAGUGUUUGGUUGUUGUGUUUGUCAUGCCUUGCAUUAGACCGUUCAUGCUUCAUAUGGGUUGUGCAUUGUGUGGUGUAUAUCGUGUGUUGAUGCUUGUUUCCGUUUCCCUCCGUCUCGUUAGAGUUCCGCAAGCGUGUCGGAUGUGAGGACCGUUCGACUGCAUCGGUUCGUCUGCUUCACGGAGUCAUUCUUCUUCCAAGCGGGAUCUCAGGCAAGAUGACCAUUUCCCCAGAUACCAUUACUAUCAUUGCCAUGCUAGUUAUACCGCUUCUUCGAUUAUGUCUCAUUGCCUACCACAUGUUAAAUAUCAGCCUCUCAACAAUGCCAUGAAACCUUCAACCUGUUCGACCUAGCAAACCACUGAUUGGAUAUGUUACCGCUUGCUUAACCCUGGGUUAGCGUUGCUAGUUGCAGGUGCAGUUGCUUCCAUGUGAUAACAUGGGUCCCUUGUUAUAUCACCCUAUUAAAUGCUAUCUAUUUUAAUGCACCUAUAUACUUGGUAAAAGGUGGAAGGCUCGGCCUUNNNNNNNNNNNNNNNNNNNNNNNNNNNNNNNNNNNNNNNNNNNNNNNNNNNNNNNNNNNNNNNNNNNNNNNNNNNNNNNNNNNNNNNNNNNNNNNNNNNNNNNNNNNNNNNNNNNNNNNNNNNNNNNNNNNNNNNNNNNNNNNNNNNNNNNNNNNNNNNNNNNCAUAAUUGAGCGCUCCUAACACGAUCCGGGUUGUUAUGGGGACCCCCUUGAUAAUUCGUUUUAGAUUAAAGCUGGUCUGGCAAGGCCCAACUUUGGUUUUACAUUUGCCCAACAUAAUAAUUCUGAUAAUACUGAAAUGCAUAGGGAGUUAGCGCUACCCGAGGAGUAAUUUUACAUAAACAGGAGGGGCCAGUGUUGAUGGUGUUGGUCCCAAACGGUCUGCCUGCGGGGCCACCGCGAGGAAACUAGAGGUUUGGCACUCGUAGCUAGUUCCAUCUGUCGUGUCCUGAGAACGAGAUACGCGGCUCCUAUCGGGUACGUCGACACGUCGGGCGGCCUUGCUGGAUUAGUUUUACCUUUGACAAGAUAUAUUCUGCCUCCUCCACUCCCUCCCUCCUAUACAUACUAGAGGGCAAAUAGGCUUUUUGCACCUCAAGCCAAAGCGCAACCCUCUCUCCCUCUAGAUCAUUUGCUCCUCUUGAUUAGUUCCGCAGAAGCUUGGCGAAGCCCUACUGGAUUAGUUCACCACCACCACCACCACCACGCCGCCAAGCUGGAGAACUCAUCUACCUCUCCGCCCCUCUUUUUGGAUCAAGAAGGCGGUGAUCGUCAUCAAGCCGCAUGUGUGCUGGACGUGGAGGUGUCGUAUAUUCGGCACUAGACCGGGACGGUUUGUGAUGAGAUCGCGGGAAGGACUGUGAUUUGGAUCACGAAGAUGUUCGACUAUAUCAACCGCGUUAUAUACGCUUCCGCUUAGUGAUCUACAAGGGUAUGUGGAUCCAAUCUCUCCUCUCGUAGAUGGUCAUCGCCAUGGAUAGAUCUUAUGUGCGCGUAUGAAUUUUUUUGUUUCCCAUGCGACGUUCCCCAAGAGUGUCAUCUUGAGCUAGGUAUAUGCGUAGAUAAUAUCUCGAGUAGAACACCAAAGAGUUUGUGGGCAUUGUUGUUCAAUUUGCUGCCCUCCUUAGUAUUUUCUUGAUGCAACGGUAUUGUUGGAUUGAAGCGGCCCGGACCAACCUUACUUGUACGCUUACGAGAGACCAGUUUCAUCGACUAACAUGCAACUUGUUGCAUAAAGAUGACUAGCGAGUGUUUGUUUCUUCAACUUUAGUUGAAUCGGAUUUAACCAAAGCGGUCCUUGGAGAAGGUUAAAUAGAAACUUGCAUAUCACCAUUGUGGUUUUGCGUAAGUAAGAUGCGAUCAUACUAGAUGCCCAUAACAGCCAUGUAAAACUUGCAAUAACAAAUUAGAGGACGUCUAACUUGUUUUUUGCAGGGUAUGUUGUGAUGUGAUGUGGCCAUAGACAUGAUAUGAUAUAUUGGAUGUAUGAGAUGAUCAUGUUGUAAUAGUUAAAUAUCGACUUGCACGUCGAUACUACGACAACCGGCAGGAGCCAUAGGGUUGUCUUUAAUUAUUUUGCGCUUGGUGAUGCUUUGCUUUAUCGCUAGUGGUAGCUUUAGUAGUAACAUCAUAGUUAGUGCGACAACGUCGAUGGCAACACAAUGAUGGAGAUCAUGGUGUGGCGCCUGUGAUGAUGGAGAUCAUGUUGGUGCUUUGGUGAUGGAGAUCAAGAAGCACAAGUUCGUGGCCAUAUCAUGACACUUAUGAUUUGCAUGUGAUGUUAAUCCUUUUAUGCACCUUGUUUUGCUUAGCACGAUGGUAGCAUUAUAAGGUGAUCCCUCACUAAAAUUUCAAGAUAAAAUUGUGUUAUCCCUCACUGUGCACCGUUGCAACAGUUCGUAGUUUCGAGACAUCACGUGAUGAUCGGGUGUGAUAGACUCUACGUUCACAUACAACGGGUGAAAAACAGUUGCACACGUGGAACACUCAGGGUAAACUUGAAGAGCCUAGCAUGUACAUACAUGGCCUAGGAAUACAAGAGAUCGAAAGGUCGAACAUGAGUCAUAUAGUGGAUAUGAUCAACGUGGAGAUGUUCACUAUUGAAGCUAAACUCAACUCACGUGAUGAUCGGACUUGAGUUAGUGAAUUUGGAUCAUGUACCACUCGAAUAACCAUAGGGAUGUCAAUUUGGGUGGGAGUUCUUAAGUAAUAUGAUUAUUUGAACUCAUUAUCAUGAACAUAGUCAAAAGGUCUUUGCAGAUUAUGUUGUAGCUUGCAUUGUAGCUCUACUAUUUUUGAUAUGUCCUAUAGAAUAUUUAGUUGAAAGAUGACAGUAGAAAUUAUGCGGACUAGGUUCGUAAACUAAGGAUUGUCCUCAUUGCUGCACAUAAGGCUUAUGUCCUUAAUGCACCGCUCGAUGUGGUGUACCCCGAGCAUCGUCUGUGGAUGUUGCGAACAUCUGACAUACACGUGUUUGAUGACUACGUGAUAGUUCAGUGAGUAAUGCUUAACGGCUUAGAAAUGAGGCGCCGAAGACAUUUUGAACGUCACAGAACAUAUGAGAUGUUCCAAGAGAUGAAAUUGGGAUUUCAGGCUCGUGCCCGUGUUGAGAGGUAUAAGGCCUCCGACAAGAUUCUUUGUCUACAAAGUAAGGGAGAAAAGCUCAAUCGUUGAGCAUGUGCUCAGAUUGUCUCGGUAUUACAAUCGCUUGAAUCAAGUGGGAGUUGAUCUUCCAGAUAAGAUAGUGAUUGGCAUAGUUCUCCAAAGUCACUGCCACCAAGCUACAGAGCUUUGUGAUGAACUAUAAAAUAUGAUGGAUAGAUAUGAUGAUCCUUGAGUUAUUCGCGAUGUUUGACACCGCGAAAGUAGAAAUCAAGUGGGAGCAUCAAUUUUUGAUGGCUAGUAAAACCACUAGUUUCCAGAAGGGCAAGGGCAAGAAGGGAUACUUCAUGACUGGCAAACCUGUUGCCACUCUAGUGAAGAAACCCAAGGUUGAACUCGAACCCGAGACUAAGUGUUUAUGAUAUGAAGGGAACAAUUACUAAAGCAGCACCACCCUUGAUACUUGGUAGAUGAGAAGGCUGGCAAAGUCGCCGAAAGUAUAUUGGAUAUACAUGAUAUUGAUGUGUACCUUACUAGUACUCCUAGUAGCAUCGGGGUAUAAGAUACCGGUUCAGUUGCUAAGUGUUAGUAACUCAAAAUAAAAUCUAUGGAAUAAAUGGAGACUAGCUAAAGGUGAGGUGAUGAUGUGUGUUGGAAGUGUUUUCAAAGUUGAUGUGAUCACCAUCGCACGCUCCCUCUACUUUCGAGAUUAGUGUUGAACCUAAAUGUUGUUUGUUGUUUGCGUUGAGCAUGAGCAUGAUUGGAUUGUAUUUAUUGCAAUACAAUUAUUCAUUUAAAGAGAAUAAUAGUUAUUUUGUUUACUUGAAUAAUACCUUCAACAGUCAUGCACCUAAUAUGAAUGGUUUAUUGAAUCUUGAUCGUAGUAUUACACAUGUUCAUAAUAUUUGAUGCCAACAUAUACAAAGUAGUAAUGAUCAUAUCACUUACUUGUGGCAUUGCUGCUUGAGUCAUAUUGGUAUAAAAUGCAUGAAGAAGCUCCAUACCGAUGGAUCUAUGGACUCGCUCAUUUUUGAAAUGUUACAGACAUGCGAACCAUGUCUAUUGGUCUAAACGCAUAAAAGAAACUCCAUGCAGAUGGAUCAUUUGGACUCACUUAAUUUUGAAUCACUUGAGACAUGCAAAUCAUUCCACAUGGGCAAGAUGACUGAAGGCCUCGUUUUCCAGUGAGAUGGAACAAGAAAGUAAAUUAUUGGAAGUAAUACAUUUUGAUGUAUGCAGUCCAAUGAGUGUUGAGGCACGCAGUGGAUAUCAUUAUAUUCUUACUUCACUCAUGAUUUGAGUAGAUGCAAGAGUAUUUGCUUGAUGAAUCACAAGUCUGAAAUAUUGAAAAGUUCAAGCUAUUUUAGAGUGAAGAUCGUCGUGACAAGAGGAUAAUAUGUUUACGAUGUGAUCGUGGAGGUAAAAUCUGAGUUGCGAGUUUGGUAGACAUUGAAAACAACGUGAAAAUUGUUUCACAAUUCAUGCCACGUGGAACACCAUAGUGUGAUGGUGUGUGUGAACACCAUAGUUGCGCCCUAUUGGAUGUGGUGCAUACUAUGAUGUCUCUUAUCGUAUUACCACUAUUGUUUUUGGGCUAGGCAUUAGAGACGACCGCAUUCACUUUAAAUAGGGUACCACAUAAGUCCGUUGAGAUGACACCGUAUGAACUAUGGUUCGGAGAAACCUAAGCUGACGUUUCUUAAAAGUUUGGGGCUAUGACGCUUAUGUGAAAAAGUUUCAGCGUGAUAAGCUCGAACCCAAAGCGGAUAAAUGCAUCUUCAUAGGACACACAAAACAGUUGGGUAUACCUCCUAUCUCAGAUCCAGAAGAAAAGUGUUUGUUUCUAGAAACGGGUCCUUUCUCGAAAAAAGUUUCUCUCGAAAGAAUUGAGUGGGAGGAUGGUGGAACUUGAUGAGGUUUUGAACCAUCACUUCAACCAUAGAGUAGAAGGCCGCAGGAAACUAUUCUUAUGGCGCCUACACUAGUUGAAGUGGAAGCUAGUGAUGGUGAUCAUUAAGCUUCAGAUCAAGUUACUUCGAAACCUCGUAGGUCGAAAGGGACACACACUACUCCAGAGUGGUACGGUAACUCUGUCUUAAAGGUCAUGUUGUUAGACAACAAUGAACCUACGAGCUAUGGAGAAGCGAUGGUGGGCCUGGAUUCCGACAAAUGGUCGAAGGUCAUGAAAUCCGAGAGAGGAUCCAUGUGUGAAAACAAAGUGUAGACUUUGGAAGAACUACUUGAUGGUCGUAAGGCUGUUGGGUACAUAUGGACUUUUAAAAGGAAGACGGACAAAUGGUUGGAGGCCAUGAAAUCUGAGAGAGGAUCCAUGUAUGAAAACAAAGUGUGGACUUUGGAAGAACUACUUGAUGGUCGUAAGACUGUUAAGUACAGAUGGAUCUUUAAAAGGAAGACAAACGAUGAUGGUGAAAAGUCACCAUUAAGAAAGCUCAACUUGUCGCAAAGAUGUUUCCGACAAGUUCAAAGAGUUGACUAUGAUGAGACUUUCUCACUCGCAGCGAUGCUAAAAGUUUUGUUGGAAUUAUGUUAGAAGUUGCUGCAUUAUUUAUGAAAUCUUGCAAAUAGGAUGUCAAAACAUUGUUUCCUCGAUGGUUUCCUUGAGGAAAGGUUGUAUGUGAUACAACCAGAAGGUUUUGUCGAUCCUAAGGAUGAUAACCAGUAUGCAAGCUCCAGCAAUCCUUCUAAGGACUGGAGUAAGCAUCUCAGAGUUGGAAUAUGCGCUUUGAUGAGAUGAUCAAAGCUUUUGGGUUUAUACAAAGUUUAUGAGAAACUUGUAUUUCCAAUAAAGUGAGUGGGAGCACUAUAGAAUUUCUGAUAAGUAUAUGUGAUCAGAAAUAAUGUACAAUUUCUGGAAAGCAUAAAGGGUUGUUUGAAAGGAGUUUUUCAAAGGAAAACCUCGAUUGAGCUACUUGAACAUUGAGCUUAAUAGAACUUUCAAAUGAAUAUAUACUGUAACAAGAUUUUGAAGGAGUUCAAAAUAGAUCAGUCAAAGAAAGAGUUCUUGGUUGUGUUAUAAGGCGUGAGUAUUGAGUAAGACUCAAAAUCCGACCACGGUGGAAGAAAGAGAAAGGACGAAAGUCGUCCCCUAUGCACUAGCCGUAGGCUCUAUAGUAUGAUAUGUUGUGUACCGCACCUGAUGUGUGCCUUGGAAUGAAUCUGCCAAGGGGCAAAGAAGUGAUCCAGGAAUGGAUUACUGGACAACGGCCAAAAGUUGUCCUUAGUAACUAGUGGACUAAGGAAUUUUUUCUCGGUUAUGGAGGUGAUAAAAGAGUUCGUCGUAAAGGGUUACAUCAAUGAAGCUUUGACACUAAUUCAGAUGACUCUGAGUAGUAAACCGGAUUCGUAUAGUGGAGCAGUCAUUUGGAAUAGUUCCAAAUGGCGCGUGGGAGCAACAUCUACAGGACGACAUAGAGAUUUGUAAAGCACACACGAAUCUAAAAGGUUCAGACCCGUUGACUAAAAACCUCACUCACAAGCAAGAUAUGAUCAAACCCCAUGGGUGUUAGAUUCAUUGCAAUCACAUAGUGAUGUGAACUAGACUAUUGACUCUAGUGCAAGUGGGAGACUGUUGGAAAUAUGCCCUAGAGGCAAUAAUAAAUUGGUUAUUAUUAUAUUUUCUUGUUCAUAAUAAUCGUUUAUUAUAUAUGCUAGAAUUGUAUUGAUUGGAAACCCAAAUACAUGUGUGGAUACAUAGACAACAUACUGUCCCUAGUGAUCCUCUAUUUGACUAGCUCGUUGAUCAAAGAUGGUCCAGGUUUCCUGGCCAUAGACAAGUGUUGUCACUUGAUAAUGAGAUAACAUCAUUAGGAUAAAGAUGUGAUGGACAAGACCCAAACUAUGAACGUAGCAUAUAAUCGUGUCAAUUUAUUGCUAUUGUUUUCUCGAUGUCAAUGUAUUUGUUCCUAUGACCAUGAGAUCAUGUAACUUCCAGACACCGGAGGAGUACCUUGUGUGUAUCAAAUGUCUCAACGUAACUGUGUGACUAUAAAUGUGCUCUACAGGUAUCUCCGAAGGUAUCUAUUGGGUUAGCAUGGAUCAAGACCGGGAUUUGUCACUCCGUGUGACGGAGAGGUAUCUCGGGGCCCACUCGGUAAUACAACAUCACAAUAAGCCUUGCAAGCAAUGUGACUAAGGAGUUAGUCACGGGAUCUUGUAUUAUGGAACGAGUAAAGAGACUUGCGAGUAACGAGAUUGAACUAGGUAUAGAGAUACCGACAAUCGAAUCUCGAGCAAGUAACAUACCGAAGGACAAAGGGAACAACAUACGAAAUUAACUGAAUCCUUGACAUAGAGGUUCAACCGAUAAAGAUCUUUGUAGAAUAUGUAGGAGCCAAUAUGGGCAUCCAGGUCCCGUUGUUGGCUAUUGACCAGAGAAUGUCUCAGUCAUGUUUACAUAGUUCUUGAACCCGUAGGGUCUGCACACUUAAGGUUCAUUGACGUUUCGGUAUUAUUGAGUUGUGUGUGUUGGUAAAAAAAAGUUGUUCGGAGUCCUGGAUGAGAUCCUGGACAUCACGAGGAGCUCCGUAAUGGUCCGGAGGUAAAUAUUGAUAUAUAGGAAAGUUGCAUUUGGCUUCUGGAAAGUUUUCGGGCAUUACCGGUAAAGUACCGGGAGUGACGAAUGGGUCCCGGGGUUUUACCGGGAGGUGCCACCCACCCGAGAGAGAACAUAAUAGGCCUGAAGAUGGUGCACCAUCCCUUAGUGGGCUAGUGUGGCCAGCCCAAGAGGGCCUAUUUCGUCCAAGGAGCAAAAGAAGGGGAAAAUCCCCAAAGGAGAGGAGGUUUCCAAGUAGGAGGAGUCCUACUUGGAGUAGGAUUGGAGGUGGACUCUUCCACCUCCACGUAUUCGGCCGAGCCAAGUAUUUGCUUUUUGGCUGCCUCCUCCCCUCCCUCCCUCCUAUAUAUACUAGAGGGUAGAGAGGCUUUUUGCACCUCAAGCCAAGGCGCAACCCUCUCUCCCUCUAGAUCGUUUACUCCUCUUGGUUAGUUCCGCAAAAGCUUGGCGAAGCCCUACUGGAUUAGUUCACCACCACCACCACCACACCGCCAUGUUGGAGAACUCAUCUACCUCUCCGCUCCUCUUGCUGGAUCGAGAAGGCGGUGAUCGUCAUCAAGUCGUACAUGUGCUGAACAUGGAGCUGUCGUUCGUUCAGCACUCGAUCGGGAUGAUUCGUGAUGAGAUCGCGAGACGGACUGCGAUUUGGAUCGCGAAGAUGUUCAACUACAUCAACCGCGUUAUAUACGCUUCCGCUUAGCGAUCUACAAGGGUAUGUGGUGUUGGAAAUAUGCCCUAGAGGCAAUAAUAAAUUAGUUAUUAUUAUAUUUCUUUGUUCAUGAUAAUCGUUUAUUAUCCAUGCUAUAAUUGUAUUGAUUGGAAACACAAUACUUGAAAGGAUCGAUAUGGUUGGCUAGACGGAGGGGGUGAAUAGACAACGACCACUUUUUAAUUAAUCUUAACAAGUUAAGGUAAACACUAUACGGGUUCACAAAUAAUAUGACAAAGAGGUGAACCCUAUAGAAGCUAACAACUAGAGCUAUUAAGACAAGUAAGAUAUAGUCACAAGCAUAAGCAAAUACAAAGUAAAGGUUAGAGAUAACCACAAGUGGAACCGAUGGAGACGAGGAUGUGUUACCGAAGUUCCUUCCCUUUGACAUGAAGUACUUCUCCGUUGGAGCGGUGUGGAGGCACAAUGCUCCCCAAAAAGCCACUAAGGCCACCGUAUUCUCCUCACGCCCUCGCACGAUGCAAGGUACCGUGAUUCCACUAUAGGUGCCCUUGAAGGCGGCGACCGAACCUUUACAAACAAGGUUGGGGCAACUCCACACAAAGCUUGGAGGCUCCCAACUAAACCACGAAGCUUCACCACAAUGGAAUAUGGCUUCGAGGUGACCUCAACCGUCUAGGAUGCUCAAACACCCAAGAGUAACAAGAUCCGCAAGGGAUUGGUGGGGGAAUCAACUUUUCUCUUGGUGGAAGUGUGGAUCUAGGCCUUCUCAACCAAUCCCUAAAGAAUCAACAAGUUUGAUUGGCUAGGGAGAGAGAUCGGGCACUUUAGAGCUUGUGGAGCAACAAUGGAGCUUAGAGAGGUAAGAGAUAGGGUUCCUCAGCUAGAAGAACCCUUUAUAUAGUGGGGGGGGAAUCAGACCGUUUUCCCACUCUCUGCCCGAGUACCAGCGGUACUACCGCUGUGCCGGAGCGGUACUACCGCUGGGCCUCCAGCGGUACUACCGCUGAGCCUCCAGCGGUACUACCGCCGGCCCCUUGGUAGUGCACAAGGACUACUACCUCCGGGAAAGUCUUCGCAAAAGGGUCCGUCCACAAACUACCGCUAGGUAGGUGGAACAAAACACCUGGAGCGGUACUACCGCUGACCAGGGGCGGUACUACCGCUGGCUGCAGCGGUACUACCGCUGGCAGUCCAGCGGUACUACCGCUGGGGACCAUUUUGCAGAGAUAAACGAGACGAAUAGGCGAGGGCUGCUCCAAAAGAUAAGGAAAGGGAGAAUGUGAAGUGUGCGUGUGUAAAGAUAGAUUCCACCCAAACCUUUCCACUACGGAUCCCCUCUUAAUAGUACGGGUUUCCUAUGACUCAAAUAAAGAGAAUCGUAGAGAGCGCCGUGCUUCCGUUCCUGAAGAGAGGAGACGUGUCGUCUUGUGCCGUUGACGAGUGUUACCUGAAACUUUGACACACACGGUUAGUCCUGUACGGUACUGUCAUCAAUCACCAAAAUUACUUAGGCAUAAACUAUGCCCCAACAAUACUUGUGUGGAUACAUAGACAAAACACUGUCCCUAGUAAGCCUNNNNNNNNNNAAUGUAGAAUUUAUGUAAAGCAUACAAGGUUGUUUGAAAGGAGUUUUCAAAGGAAUACCUGGAUUGAGCUACUUGAACGUUGAGCAUCAAAAGAUCUAUGGAGAUAGAUCGAAAGCGCUUAAUGGAAGUUUCAACAAGAUGCAUGCCUUGACAAGUUUUUGAAGGAGUUCAAAAUAGAUCAGCAAAGAACGAGUUCUUAGUUGUGUUGUAAGGUGUGAAUUUGAGUAAGACUCAAAACCCGACCACGGCAGAAUAAAGAGAAUAGACGAAGGUCGUCUUCUAUGCCUUAGCCGUAGACUCUAAAGUAUGCCAUGCUGAGUACCGCACCUGAUGUGUGCCUUGCAACAAGUCUGUUAAGAGCUACACAGAGUGAUCCAGGAUUGAAUCACUGAUCAGCGGUCAAAGUUAUCCUUAGUAACUAAAUAGACUAAGGAAUUUUUCUCGAUUAUGGAGGUGCUUAAAGAGUUCGUCGUAAAGGGUUACGUCGAUGCAAGCUUUGACACUAAUCCGAAUAACUAUGAGUAGUGAAACGGAUUCGUAUAGUAGAGCAGAUAUUUGGAGUAUUUCCGAAUAGCACAUAGUAGCAGCAUCUAUAAGAUGACAUAAAGAUUUGUAAAGAACACACGGAUCUGAAAGUUUCAGAACCGUUGACUAAAACCUCCCUCAAGAGCAAGACGUGAUCAGACCCCAUAACUAUAUGGGUGUUGGAUUCGUUGGAAUCACAUGGUGAUGUGAACUAGAUUAUUGACUCUAGUGCAAGUGGGAGACUGUUGGAAAUAUGCCCUAGAGGNNNNNNNNNNNNNNNNNNNNNNNNNNNNNNNNNNNNNNNNNNNNNNNNNNNNNNNNNNNNNNNNNUAUUGGAAACACAAUACUUGUGUGGAUACAUAGACAAAACACUGUCCCUAGUAAGCCUCUAGUUGACUAGCUCGUUGAUCAAAGAUGGCCAAGGUUUCCUGGCCAUAGGCAAUUGUUGUUACUUGAUAACGGGAUCACAUCAUUAGGAGAAUCAUGUGAUGGACUAGACCCAAACUAAUAGACGUAGCAUGUUGAUCGUGUCAUUUUGUUGCUACUGUUUUCUGCGUGUCAAGUAUUUGUUCCUAUGACCAUGAGAUCAUAUAACUCACUGACACCGGAGGAAUACUUUGUGUGUAUCAAACGUCGCAACGUAACUGGGUGACUAUAAAGAUGCUCUACACGUAUCUCCGAAGGUGUUAGUUGAGUUAGUAUGGAUCAAGACUGGGAUUUGUCACUCCGUGUGACGGAGAGGUAUCUCGGGGCCCACUCGGUAAUACAACAUCACACACAAGCCUUGCAAGCAAUGUGACUUAGUGUAAGUUACGAGAUCUUGUAUUACGGAAUGAGUAAAGAGACUUGCCGGUAAACGAGAUUGAAAUAGGUAUGCGGAUACUAACGAUCGAAUCUCAGGCAAGUAACAUACCGAAGGACAAAGGGAAUGACNNNNNNNNNNGUUGAAAUAGGUAUACAGAUACUGACGAUCGAAUCUCGGGCAAGUAACAUACCGAAGGACAAAGGNNNNNNNNNNGGAUCUUGUAUUAUGGAACGAGUAAAGCGACUUGCCGGUAAACGAGAUUGAAAUAGGUAUGCGGAUACUGACGAUCGAAUCUCAGGCAAGUAACAUACCGAAGGACAAAGGGAAUGACAUACGGGAUUAUAUGAAUCCUUGGCACUGAGGUUCAAACGAUAAGAUCUUCGUAGAAUAUGUNNNNNNNNNNUGAGUAAAGAGACUUGCCGGUAAAACAAGAUUGAAAUAGGUAUACGGAUACUGACGAUCGAAUCUCGGGCAAGUAACAUACCGAAGGACAAAGGGAAUGACAUACGGGAUUAUACGAAUCCUUGGCACUGAGGUUCAAACGAUAAAGAUCUUCGUAGAAUAUGUAGGAUCCAAUAUGGGCAUCCAGGUCCCGCUAUUGGAUAUUGACCGAGGAGUCUCUCGGGUCAUGUCUACAUAGUUCUCGAACCCGCAGGGUGUGCACACUUAAGGUUCAACGUUGUUUUAUGCGUAUUUGAGUUAUAUGGUUGGUUACCGAAUGUUGUUCGGAGUCCCGUAUGAGACCACGGACGUCACGAGGGUUUCCGGAAUGGUCCGGAAACGAAGNNNNNNNNNNNNNNNNNNNNNNNNCUGUUCGGAGUCCCGGAUGAGAUCACGGACGUCACGAGGGUUUCCGAAUAGUCCGGAAACAAAGAUUGAUAUAUAGGAUGACCUCAUUUGAUUACCGGAAGGUUUUCGGAGUUACCGGGAAUGUACCGGGAAUGACGAAUGGGUUCCGGGAGUUCACCGGAGGGGGGCAACCCACUCCGGGGAAGCCCAUGGGCAUUUGGGGGGGUCACACCAGCCCUUAGUGGGCUGGUGGGACAGCCCACCAAUCCCCUAUGCGCCAAGAGAGAAAAAAUCAAAGGAAAGAAAAAAAGGGAAGAAGUGGGAAGGGGGAAGGACUCCCUCCCACCAAACCAAGUAGGACUCGGUUUGGGGGGGAGAGUCCUCCCCCCUGGCUCGGCCGACCCCUUGGGGAUCCCUUGGACCCCAAGGCAAGGUCCCCCUCCCUCCUCCUAUAUAUAUGNNNNNNNNNNGCAACCCACUCCGGGGAAGCCCAUAGGCUUUUGGGGGACACACCAGCCCUUAGUGGGCUGGUGGGACAGCCCCAAGGGAGCCUAUGCGCCAAGAUAAGAAAAUCAAAGGAAAAGAAAGAAAAAAGAGGGAAGAAGUGGGAAGGGAGGGGGACUCCUCCCACCAAACCAAGUCCAACUCGGUUUGGGGGGGGAGUCCUCCCCCCCCUUGGCUCGGCCGACCCCUUGGAAGUCCCUUGGACCCCAAGGCAAGGUCCCCCUCCCUCCUCCUAUAUAUAUGGGGCUUUUAGGGCAGAUUUGAGACGACUUUCUCACGGCUGCCCGACCACAUACCUCCAUAGUUUUUCCUCUAGAUCGUGUUUCUGCGGAGCUCGGGCGGAGCCCUGGUGAGACAAGAUCAUCACCAACCUCCGGAGUGCCGUCACGCUGCCGGAGAACUCUUCUACCUCUCCGUCUCUCUUGCUGGAUCAAGAAGGCCGAGAUCAUCGUCGAGCUGUACGUNNNNNNNNNNNNNNNNNNNNNNNNNNNNNNNNNNNNNNNNNNNNNNNNNNNNNNNNNNNNNNNNNNNNNNNNNNNNNNNNNNNNNNNNNNNNNNNNNNNNCUUCGUGCGCGUAGGAAUUUUUUUGUUUCCCAUGCGACGUUCCCCAACAGUGGCAUCAUGAGCUAGGUUCAUGCGUAGAUGUCUUCUCGAGUAGAACACAAAAGGUUUUGUGGGCGGUGAUGUGCGUUUUGCUGCCCUCCUUAGUCUUUUCUUGAUUCCGCGGUAUUGUUGGAUUGAAGCGGCUUGGACCGACAUUACUCGUACGCUUACGAGAGACUGGUUUCAUCGUUACGAGUAACCGCCUUUGCUCAAAGAUGACUGGCAAGUGUCGGUUUCUCCAACUUUAGUUGAAUCGGAUUUGACCGAGGAGGUCCUUGGAUGAGGUUAAAUAGCAACUCAUAUAUCUCCGUUGUGGUGUUUGCGUAAGUAAGAUUCGGUCCUACUAGAUACCCUUGGUCACCACGUAAAACUUGCAACAACAAAAUUAGAGGACGUCUAACUUGUUUUUGCAGGGUAUGANNNNNNNNNNNNNNNNNNNNNNNNNNNNNNNNNNNNNNNNNNNNNNNNNNNNNNNNNNNNNNNNCUUGUGAUGUGAUAUGGACAGCGAUGUGAUGUGAUAUAUUGGAUGUAUGAGAUGAUCAUGUUGUAAUAGAUAAUAUCGACUUGCACGUCGAUGGUACGCAACCGGCAGGAGCCAUAGGGUUGUCUUUAUACUAACGUUUGUGCUUGNNNNNNNNNNCGUCGAUGGUACGGCAACCGGCAGGAGCCAUAGGGUUGUCUUUAUACUAACAUAUUCGUGCUUGCAGAUGCGUUUACUAUUUUGCUAGGAUGUAGCUUUAGUAGUNNNNNNNNNNUGUCGAUGGUACGACAACCGGCAGGAGCCAUAGGGUUGUCUUUAUACUAACGUUUGUGCUUGCAGAUGCGUUUACUAUUUUGCUAGGAUGUAGCUUGAGUAGUAAUAGCAUAAGUAGCACGACAACCCCGAUGGCAACACGUUGAUGGAUGAUCAUGGUGUGGCGCCGGUGACAAGAAGAUCGUGCCGGUGCUUUGGUGAUGGAGAUCAAGAAGCACGUGAUGAUGGCCAUAUCAUGUCACUUAUGAAUUGCAUGUCAUGUUAAUCCUUUUUAUGCACCUUAUUUUGCUUAGAACGACGGUAGCAUUAUGAGGUGAUCUCUCACUAAAAUUUCAAGACGAAAUUGUGUUCUCCCCGACUGUGCACCGUUGCUACAGUUCGUCGUUUCGAGACACCACGUGAUGAUCGGGUGUGAUAGACUCAACGUUCACAUACAACGGGUGCAAAACAGUUGCGCACGCGGAACACUCGGGUUAAGCUUGACGAGCCUAGCAUGUGCAGACAUGGCCUCGGAACACAUGAGACCGAAAGGUCGAGCAUGAAUCGUAUAGUUGAUAUGAUUAGCAUAGAGAUGCUUACCACUGAAACUAUUCUCGACUCACGUGAUGANNNNNNNNNNNNNNNNNNNNNNNNNNNNNNNNNNNNNNNNNNNNNNNNNNNNNNNNNNNNNNNNNNNNNNNNNNNNNNNNNNNNNNNNNNNNNNNNNNNNGGAGAGGAUCCAGCGCUACUCACAAGUUAGCAGUAGCUCCGGUGCGGAUCCAGCGCUACUGCUAGAUUUAGUUAACCGGCUAACUCGAUCACCUCUCCCCCACUCCUUCCCUCUCCGUUCGACCGGCCCUCUCUCCCUCUCGCCUGUGAUCCAGCGCGCUGCUUCUUCCCUCUCCGCCACUGACUCCCUCCAAGUGUCGUCGUGCCACCUCCACACGUCGCCGCCCCUCCAAGCGCCGCCGGGCCACCUUCAUGCGCCGUUGUUCGACCACCUCCCCUCCCGCUCCGGUAAGCCCCCCGCCCCCUCCUCCCUACCGCCUCGCUCGCCCACCCUAGCACCACACCGCACGCCUCCCCCUGUCGUGGACGCCCCCGUUGACCGUGGACGCAACAUUUUCACCUAAAGUUUGUUCAAAGGUUAUUCAAUCCAUCUAAAGUAAUAUAUGUGGAUAGGAGAUAGUAGUAGUGUUUAUCAGUAAUUUUGGUAUGAGGAUCUACCAAUGCAUCUAGGGGUUAAGAGACUUAGUGAAGAUGGGGUGGUUGCUGACCUAGGGCAUGUAAGAAUGUUUGGGGGGAAUUUUUGCAAUAUGGUUAGGCAUGAGAGGUUGUUCAUAAUAUUCUCUGUUUUACCCCAUCUUUUGUACUUGUUCAUUGUUGCUAUAUCCUAGUGGCCUAUGUUUUGUCGGAAUGUUGAUUCAUUUCCGUUCCGGAAAAUUUCAAACGCUCCAUAUAUCCACUUUUUAGUAAAUGUCAUGCCCAAAUUUUUUCUGUUUUAGGAAAUGUCUGACGACGAAGGGGAAUUCGUUAUGUGCGAAUACUGCCAAGACAAGCGCGGCCUUUGCGACACGCCUUGCCUAGUUGAUGAUAGGCGCUUCAGCAUCAUGCUGGAUGAGGACUUUGAAGUGGAUACAGUAAGUCACAACGACAAGUCCACUUGAUAGGCUUGAAAAGCAUCUUUGUAUGCGAUGGUGCUCUUCCAGAUCUCUGUAUGGCAGUUGGUCUCUUUUUUUUCCGACAUUGCUAUGGUGGUGUCGGAGGAUAUUUGUGGACUAUGUUUCGAUGAGGCACAAGUUUCUUCAAGGAUGAAAUAGUAAUUUUACUUCAUGUGGAACUCUUUGUGCAAAGUUGUUGACAAGCAUGUUUAUCUCUUAUGAUGACCAUAUGUGUAAUUUUUGUGAACAAAUUAUCUAAUGAAAUACUCCCUCCAUCCGGAAAUACUUGUUUUAAAAAUGAAUAUAAUGAAUGUAUCUAUAACUAAAAUAAGUCUAGAUACAUUUAUCUUUAGGAUAAUUAUUUCCGGACGAAGGUAGUACGAUGUUGCUUAAAAAAGACGCCCAUCGAAUUCAGAAAGAGACAAUACCAAAAGGCUAAAACUGGAAAGACGAUACCUCCUAAAAGUGCCAAAACUAGAAGGAUCAGCAAUCCCCACUCAUGUGCAAUAAACAGUCUAGAACUUCGACUCUUCUUAACGACAUAAACAAUAAUUGAGCCUGAAAGAUUGGCAUCGCCGCCCGACAAAUGAAACAAUGAACUCUCACUCACCAUGUACUCUUGCUUCAGUUGAGCGCCGUGGGAAAGCUCAAUCAGCAAAGCUAAUCAAAGCGUUUUUAGAACGUACCACCACACCUUUUGAUGGCAGCUAGGGCAUGUUGAAGCAUUUAUAUUGAUUUUUUUUCUUCAAUGCAACCUAUUACUAGUGGGCAUCAUCAAGGGGAAAAAAACUCUGAUCUACAUGCAUCUCUAUUUUUUACUUUAACUUUUCAGCUUUUUACAUCGAAUUACAUCUUUUCUUCCUAAGCACCGCCUCUUGCUGGAUCCCGCUACACCAUCCGAGACCAUACACGAUCCUACAUGGCAUGUGGGACAUCAUUUUGAGGCUAUGCAUUGGGCAUGCACUUAUGCCCUUGAUUGCAUCACACCAUACGGAGCACACAUGAAGGAUGGGAAGACUUUCGCCGACAAGCAAAGUGGACUCGGGUAACACGGUGUAUACACCGACACUGGGGGCUAAUUUUUGUGUUAUGACCCUUUUAUGAAAAAUGAUCGAGAUCUAACCUAGUUUGUAAAAAAAAUAGGUUCUGAUCAUUUUCCUAUCAUCGGGAUCCAUGACGAUAAGGUACAACGGCCUACCGCCGGGGUCCAUGACGAUAGAGUAUAGCAACCUACUGUCAAGGUUCCUCGCAGUAGGGAUGUACGCCCUACCGUAAAAAUUUCCUAAGCAUCGGAUACAAUGCGUGUUCGCACCUACAGUCGAGCACCUCGAUGAUAGGGUUGUAUAGACUACCGUCAACUUAUUUGACGAUAGAGGUGCGUCGCGCUCACUUUAAUAAGUUUUCUACGGACACCGAUGGUAGGAAAAAAAGUCAGAUCUCAAAAUUUUUACAAACCAGAGUCAGAUCUCGCUCAACUUCUGUAAAAGGGUCAAAAGGCAUGGAUUGUUUUCUCGGACAUCUGAUACGCGUGUGCUUUAAAGCAUCUAUAGUCGGACCCCUCCUAUCCAUCUCAAACGUCCGGGUAGGCUAUCCGGUUACUAGUCGUUCACAAAAAAUCAAUCUCUAAUAUGAAGACGGUAUGAGGGCUCGCAAACGCGCCCGGGCACGCCCGAUCAGUCCGCCACCUCGGACGUGACCCCAUUCCGGACCACCUUUUCUCUUUGUUUAUUUAUUAUUUCAUUAUUUAUUUCUCUCCCUUCUUCAUCAAUCACGUGCAACUGAUCGGACAGAUGAGGAAAAAUAUGAUUAUACGGAUGAAAAAAUAGAGGCUCAAAAUGAACACGCUCGGUCACUGACCGGACGCGUCCACGAAUGCUUGAGGAACCGGAUUUAGAGCAAGUAUAAUAAGAUACAGACAACAGGCUGUAAGGAUUAAAAUACUAUAUUUUUGCUGAGUUGGAUGAGAGAGAAGAGGAGAGAGAAGGGAAGCGGGCUCUUCGUGAAGAGUCAGCUCUAGCACGUGCUCCUAGGUGCUUUGUGAGAAUGAAAGGUGAGCCAUAUAUGAUAAAAGUAGUACUCCCUCCAUCACAGUUUAUAAGGCGUGCACGCGUACUUAGGUCGUCAAUUUGACUUAUAUAAAAUAUAUUGUUUAACAUAAAAAAUAUAUUAUUAGAAAAUAGAACAUCUAAAGUUUCUAAUGAUAUAUUUUUUGUAAUAUAUGUCUCUUAUUAAAUUGAUCAAAUAAACGACCUAGAUACACGUGCCGGACUUAGAGCAUCUCUAGUGGAUGGUGUAUAUUUGAACGUGUAUAUCUUCAUAUACACGUCCAUAUACACGGCGUGGAAAUUAUACACGUCCUAGUUUUUCAGUGAAACGUGUAAAUUAGGACGUGUAUAUUCCCCUCAUUCUUUCCCCCUCUGCAAGAUAAGAGAUUCAGUAGUGCACACAGGUUCAGAGAACAAGACAGGGGAGCUUCGCCGCAUUGCAGCCGUCUCCCUCGUCGCCGGCAGCCUUCCCCGUGGCAUCCAAGAUGUCCAUGGACUCGAGGGUGCCUCCCUCGUUCCAUUCCCAUCGCUAGGGUGACCGGUGGGCCACCACAGCGACGGCACCAACCUCGUCUCCGACGAGUACCCGGAGCCAAAGCCCUGCAGCAGGAGGAGGAGCCCCCGUGCUCCAGCCAGCCAUUUCGGCGCCCGACGCAGCCCCUGUCCCGGCCUUGCCUGAGGAGGAGCAGCAACUGCGGGGCGGACGGGAACCCUAGAGGCCUCGCACCUCCGAGAUCCGUCCGAACUGGGGGUGAGGACGGCGCGGCCGGGCCGCAAGCGGCGUGGGCGGGACGGGCAGGCGUCCGGGCACAGGGAGCCCUGGCCUUGCUUCUCAGGGAGGAGGAGGCGGCGGUGGGCCGGCGGGCGGCGGUGGGCCGGCGGGCGGCGGCCGGAGGAAGGGGGAGGGGAGACCGGAGGCGGCUGCGCGGCCUUGCUCCUCAGGGAGGAGGAGCCCCCUACUCCAGCGCCACCGCCAGCCCGCACCCCGCAGCGNNNNNNNNNNNNNNNNNNNNNNNNNNNNNNNNNNNNNNNNNNNNNNNNNNNNNNNNNNNNNNNNNNNNNNNNNNNNNNNNNNNNNNNNNNNNNNNNNNNNNNNNNNNNNNNNNNNNNNNNNNNNNNNNNNNCACGACGAGUAGCCUCGUGGAUGGACGUGUAUAACUUCCACGCCCGUAUACACGUUCCACUGGGAGGCAUUUUUCUGUUAGCAACGUGUAUAUUUACCAUCCACCUCCAUAUACACCAUCCACUAGAGAUGCUCUUAUAAACUGAAACGGAGGAAGUACUUUUUUAUAGCUAACUAUUGUACAAGCUAGCUAUAAGAUUGACUAUAAGAUGGCUUAUAGCCAGCAGUUGACUAUACUGUUAACCAUGCUCUUACAAGUUCCAUCCGUAGAUGCUCUAGGCAUGGCACGACGACGUAUGUCGUUGGGACAGUCUUAGAGCAUCUCUAGUGGAACGUGUAUACACCUUGCUAAAUUUUACACCUCCCAGUUUUUCAGUGGAACGUGUAUACAGGACGUGGAAAUCAGGACGUGUAUAUUCCAACGGCUAUAUUUUCAAACGGCUAUAUUUUCAACGGCUAUAUUUUCAACGGCCAUAUUUCUGGUCUAUAUAAACCGCCCCAAUCACCUCUCUUCCAGCAUUUCUAGUUGUGCCUCAUCUUCUCACUUCUAGAUUUCUCUAUCGUCUCUCACACAACACAAUGAACACAUUCUCUUGGGACAUGAGUUCUUCAUCAUCUUCAUCGGGCGACGAUGAACUCAUACUUGCGGCAUUAGCCGAUCGCGAGGAGGAAGAGAGGAUGAACACUCGACGCCAUGGCGGUUCCAUGCAUGGACGUCAGUCAAUCGAUCGAGGAAGAGAUGCCGGAUUUCUUCUUCUCUGGAACGACUAUUUCAAAGAAGUUCCUCGCUUUUCCGAACAUUUGUUUCGACGAAGGUUCGUAAUUAGUACACUUCUCUGCUUUGGUUCUUUUUUCAUUUCCCCGUCUCAUUGACUUUUUAUGCAUAGAUUUAGGAUGUCGCGUACUUUGUUCAACCGCAUAGCUGAUGGUAUACUUGAACAUGACUAUGAUGGUUAUUUUACGCAAAAAAGAAGUGCUUCUGGAGCUCUUGGGUUACAUCCUCUACAAAAGAUGACCGCGGCAAUGCGGAUCCUCACAUAUGGAAUAGCAACUGAUGGUGUUAAUGAGUACAUCGGGUCCGCUGAGGCUACUAAUUUAGAGUCUUGCAAGAAAUUUGUGAUCAAAGUUUGUGAAGUUUCUGAGGAAAAGUACAUGAGAUCUCCAAAUGAAGAAGACAUUGCUAGGUUACUUGCAAUAGGUGAGGAAAGAGGAUUACCUACAAUACUGCCAGUGAUAUGCACAAACAAUACAGAAGUGAGAACACGAAUUGUUCUCCUUGCCUACAAUAUUGCCAGUGAUUGAUUCCCCCCAUAAUUCACUUCUAUUGCAUUCUUGAAGCAGCAGCAGCGGGUUCNNNNNNNNNNNNNNNNNNNNNNNNNNNNNNNNNNNNNNNNNNNNNNNNNNNNNNNNNNNNNNNNNNNNNNNNNNNNNNNNNNNNNNNNNNNNNNNNNNNNNNNNNNNNNNNNNNNNNNNNNNNNNNNNNNNNNNNNNNNNNNNNNNNNNNNGUGCGCCCCAGACCUCUCUGGAAUGGAAAAUAGAAGGGAGGGAGAGAGCUUACCAGAGGGGAGUGGUCGCCGGCGAGCUUCGAUGGCCUUUGGACGGAGGCGGGAGCAGCUUGUUUCCCUUUCCACUAGCGUGGCCGAGCCGUGUGUAUUUGCACGAGAAGUAGCGUUGUGGAUGGACAUGUAAAACUUCCACGUCCGUAUACACGAUCCACUGGGAAGUGUUUUUCAGUUUUCAUAGUAUAUAUUUAGUUUUCAUAGUAUAUAUUUACCAUCCAUCCGUAGAUGCUCUAACAAGUUCCAUCCGUAGAUGCUCUAGGCAUGGCACAACGACGUAUGUCGUUGGGACAGCCGAACGACAGGCGUGUGGCGCAGUCAGGGGGUGGGGUGCCUAGAGAGGCCUACACGCCGCGUGAACCCCAGCUUUUCCGUUGUUGGGCGAACCCCUCCGCCCCUCACCACCGAAGGAGCCCUCCGGAAAAGGCCAACUCCGGGAGCUUUCCUUUGCCCCCCACGCCACGCGGAAAGCGAAAGAGGUUAGCUAGCUUUCCAGCUCCAAAGUUGCAAGUGCGACGCCGCCCGCCCAUGGGUGGACGGACGGGUGGCGGCCUUCAGGUUCAGGUUUAGGCGGGCGGCCACCGGCCUGGCCGGUGAGAAGGACCUGGGACGGCAUUUUUCUUUCAGCGCACAGGGGAAGAAGAAUCCCCGCGAUGCCCAUGAUGGCUCGAUUUGUCAAACGCUAGCUAUAACCUAGAAAGAAAAGAAGAAAAGGAAGAAAAGGCUAAAACAGCAUGGCGAAAAUCUGAAGAGCUAAAGUCACAGGCCACAGGUCACGGAGUAGCAACACGACGCGCACCGCAAAUCUAUCUUAAAUUCCUUAGCUUGCAGGACAGCCGAUCGCCAGCCACCGGCCAAGGCGGCCAGCGGCGCUGCCGGCACGACCACCCUGGCUCGCCGUGGAUGACGCACCGUACUACCGCCGUAGUGCUAGUGUCCGCCCGUGGCCACGCAGCCGCGACCGCGCACGAGACGAGCGCAGCGAAAUGGCAUGGACGGACCCACCAACCCUAGGACCCCGAUCCGAUGGUCGUUCUCCUUCCAUCCAUCCUUGCCCCACCGACCCCGUGGCCUACUCCACGGCUGUUCCCGAGCUGGCCUCCACCCCACCCUCGGGGUCACUGCACUGUCGCUCGGCUCCGCUUACAACAAAUCCAGUAGAAAGCAACAAAGAAUUCCUCGCCUCGAGAUGCCACAUACCACCAGUGGUCGCGUGGAGCGCCACUACAGUACCAGCGGUUUUUUAAAGGUGACCAGACCAGAUCUGCCCCUGCCCAGCCUCAGAUCCAUUCCGCUUCCGCCCGCGUGAUGCACGUACGAACGAGCACGAGCAUUCUAGUGCUAGUUGCUACUAGCACUAUACCAAUACGUACUAUAUAUGUAUACUACACCCUCCAAGAUCCGAUCUGCUGGAGCAACUUAGAGCUAGAAAUCAAGCUACGAGCUACUGUAGUUAUGGACGAAGCUGCAAGAACAGAGUGUAAUAAGCAGCGACGGAGAAAGAAUAAUAAUGAUGAUACAUAUGGUGAGAGGAAUUAACUGGGGGAUUGUACAAUGGAUAUGGAUCGAGCACCACCAGCAACGACGGCCAAACAAUCAGAUCUGUCCACGCCCAACACACGCAUAACACGGAGGAGUGUCCUACUACGAAUCCGAAUGCCGAAUGUAAUAAUCAUCAACGCAACAACAACAAAAGAAGAAGAAAAAAAAGGAAGAUAAACAGCUCCAAGAACACCACCACAAAAGGAGAGGGAGCGGGGCCCUCGGAUAAAUUAAAUACUCUUGCAGGCAGCCGAUCUGCCGCGGGGGCGGGAUCUCUCAGUAGAAGGCGGCGGCGGCGGCCACGGCGGCGGUGGCGACCCACGCGGCGGCGGGGUGGACGCCGGCGGCGGCGCUGGCGGGGGUGGUGGGCGCGUCCAUGGACGGGGCGGGGGACGGGCCCAUCAUCGACGGCUCCGGCGGCGAGCUCAUGUNNNNNNNNNNNNNNNNNNNNNNNNNNNNNNNNNNNNNNNNNNNNNNNNNNNNNNNNNNNNNNNNNNNNNNNNNNNNNNNNNNNNNNNNNNNNNNNNNNNNNNNNNNNNNNNNNNNNNNNNNNNNNNNNNNNNNNNNNNNNNNNNNNNNNNNNNNNNNNNNNNNNNGGGGGAGGCAUGACCGGGGCCACGGCCGGCGGGGGAGACACCGGCGCCGGGGUCGGCGGCGGCAUCAUCGGAGGCGGGGACACCGGGGCCACGGGGGCCGGCAUCGGGGUGGCCGCCGGGGCCUGGGCCGCGGUGGCGGCGAAGAGCAUGGUCAGGGCCAGAGCCACCAGCUGGAUGCGCGCCAUUGGAGGAGUGAAGAGGAGAGCUUGAGCUUGAGCUUGAGCUUGAGCUUUGCUUUUGCUUGAGGUGGUGCUGCUGCUGGUGUACUGUAAUGGUGUCCGAGACGGUAUUGGGCCGGGAGAUUAUAAAGGGGUCGCGGACGGGGCUACGACGACGAAUUAUAUGAAGACCCAGGGGGCUCCGUGCUAAUUUCCGAUCCUGGUAGCCGUCCGAUCGACAUCCGACGGCUCGUAUGGUUGGAAAGCUUCAACUCUUUUUUCUUCCCCAAACUUCUGACUUCUGAACAGCAAGCAAGUUUCAGAAAAACAAGCUAAAUCCCAACAGCUGGCGGAGAUCAUGUCAUUUGGUUCACGGGAAAUUCUCUCGCGAUAUAAGAGUCUGGUGAUUAUUUGCUUUCCUUUUUUUUGUCAUGGUUCACGCGUAAUUCUGGUCGACGGUGAGCUGGGUUUCCUUCCUGUUCCGUCUUGCCUAAUUUUGUCUUGGGGGUUUGAAAAUCGUGUGCAUAAUCCCACCCCUAUCUUCGGUUCAUGGACCCGAUCAAUUAGUCCAUUGCAGAUAUUUGCGGUAAAAUAUUAUGGACGAUCAAUGCAAAAUGGCAAGCAGCUAAUGAGCCAAUUGGCCCACGCGUUUGCAGUGUUCUUUACAACGAUAACAAAAUGUCAGACUUUAAAACAAUGUUAACUUCGAAAGUCAAAGUUUUUUUACAUGGGUGGCACACAUGCAUGUAAACGGACACGCACGCGUAAAUGUGAAAUAGCAAGUGGUAUUUGCUAAUGAGCCGACUGACCCACGCGUUUGCGGAGCUAGUGCAUCGAGUUUUUUCUACAAGAUAAUAAAAGGUCGGAUUUCAAAAACAAAGUUACUUCCAAAGUCAAAGUGCUUUUUCUCGCAAUUACGUUGGUGACGCACACGCAGACACGCACGCGCAAAUGUGAAAUAUCAAGUGCUUGUUAAUGAGCCGAUUGGCUCACGCGAUUGCGAUGUUUGUGCACUGAGUUUUCUUUACAAGGAUAAUGGAGGUCCAUUUCCAACAACAAGGUUGCUUCCAAGGUCAAGGUGCUUCUUUAUGCAGUUACAACACACAUGUAGACACGCACAUACACACACUCAGAACCUUGCAUAUUUUCGACAUUUUUCUCUUCUUUUUUGAGGGCAGGUUCAGCCCAUCAACAUGUGAAAGUAAGCACCCGUGACUGUGCAAUGUUUAGUUGAGGUAAAAGUGGAGAAAAUAACCAUCAAGUGAAUGGGGCGACUCAUUCCAAGAUGAUUUACCAAUUUUCGUGUGCGGUUUUUCCUGUAUGAUUGGAUGAAACUUGUGCGUGUCAAAUCAUCGAAUAUCGUCAUCUUUCUCACCGAAAGAUCAAUAACCAACAUUGUCUCAUCAAUUCGUGAUGUAUGGUGUUCCCUCGUAUGCAUCAUAUUUUUUGCUCUAUAAACAAAACUUACAAAACUAACAAGAGGUCCACAUUGUGUAUGUGUGCACACGCGCGGCGUGGGACAAUUAUAACAAAAAUGUCUUUCUAUAAAAUAGACAUAAAAUAGAGCUCCUUGUUUUGAUCAUUUGAUGAUAGCAUCAACCAGCUAAGAUUAGUUGCCUACAAAAUAAAUACCUUAGCAAUGAAAUGAUUGGUUUGGUGCUAAUCAAUGGAGCGCACGUUGUCCUCACCAAUUCUAUAUUGAGCCGUUGGUGAAUGAUGGGUUGCUGUCAGCGUUUCUCCAUCAAAAUCUUGGGUUUACAAAAGAACGAUACGAGAAAGUAAUCACACUAACACAGACGGUUAGGAAAACAAGAGAAAAUUCUACUGUCAAGUUAUCUCUUCCGUGUAUUCUUCAUGCACAUUUUUAUUUUAUUUUUGCACAUUGUUUGGCUUGCAAGUUUUAGUCUCCUGCCUAUUAUGUUAGCUGGAAGGAGAUAAAGUUCUUGGUCCCCGACGAAAAAUAGGUUCACUUGGGAGGACAAUGGUGUACAGCCUAACCAAACCCUUUUCAAAACCUAAAGCUCCACACGUUCAGGUUGCUCGAUUUGGUCCAUAAGGGUAUACCUAACGCGCCAAAUGUUUCCAAAACCUAAUGUGCCCCGUUUUUUUCCUUCACAAUAUCCAUCUUGUUCCACAAGAUAAAUCCAGAGAUUUCCAACCUAACCAUACCCUUCCAAAACCCAGCGCUCCACUCCUCCAACGUUCAUAUUCUUUGGACAAGAGAUACACACGAAUACACUUGUCUGGUUCCUAACCACCAUGUGGAAGAGUGUGAUUAUGCUAGUUGAUAGGCAGCUCUGAAUCAGACCGACAAUAGGAAGCCCCUAUCUGGAAGCAAGAGUUCAAAUGCAAGUAUGGACUAAUCGCAACGGCGAACGGUCCCUGCAAACUUUGGAGACCAAGUUAAUUCACGAUUUUCAGAGUAACUUUGUCGAAACUCAUGUUUCGUUCCUUAUUAAACUGGGGUCAAUAUCUAAUUAUAAGAGCAUGUUCGCUAGUUGAAUCAUUGUGCCUCCAUUUUAAGGCUUAAUUUGUGAUUGCUGAACUGUGUUGUGUUAUGAUGAUUUCAUAAUUACUAGUCCCUCCGUUUUUAAAUAUAAGUCUUUUUAGAAUUUUUAUUAGAGACUACAUACGGAUGUAUAUAGACAUACUUUAGAGUAUAGAUUAACUCAGUUUGCUUUGUAUGUAGUCACUUAGUGAAACCUCUAAAAUACUUAUAUUUAGAAAGGGGGGAGUAUGUAAAAUUAGCCACAAAAGUAGACAAAAGCGGUUUAAACGCACGCUCAGAUAGGCAAAAACAUAUUAGGCAACACAAGGUUAUCACAAACCACCACAAUACCAAACUCGGCCUAAGUAAAGCUGACUUUUUCCUAGACAAGAAAAAUGCAACGUGUGUAUGACAAUGAUGUUAGAACAAGCCAACAAAGGCAAGAACAUGAGUUUUCAUCUGGAGAUCGCCUCCAGAAAUUGAAGAUAAUACCACAAGGAGAUGACGUGAGAGCAAUGUCGACAUGUCGUUCCCACGUCUAACCAAUGAAGACUAUACCAACCAAUGGAGGCCAACUCAUUCAAUUACUAUACCACGUCUUGGCGCUCAAAAUCGAACAUCACUUGAUCCAACCAAUGGAGGCUAACUCAUUCACGACGAUUGCGACAAUGUCCGUUCAAGAUUUGGCAUGGCCCAAUGACAAGAAACCUCAUGCUAGCGUACUGGUAUCGCUCCACCAUGGAGCUUACUAGAACCGCCAAAACGCUUUGAAGGGGUCGCCCCUCCGCCCUCAUGUCGACGAUGCCCCUGCAGCCACCCCGGCUUCCAUGUCAUAAUCCACAACAUGUCAUCCUCUAACGGGCAGCCAUCACGACCGGAUAUCGACAAGAGCCCCUAACACCACUAUCGGUCGCAAGACCUUUGGUCAUGGCAUCCUCUGGCGGUGGAGGAGGGGGUUGAAGGAAGGCAUGGUAGAGAUGCUAACUUCCUUAACUACACUUUGUAUACAAUAAAGUAGAGAAAUCUCCCAAUCAAUCUUUGCGUCUAAAAAUGCACACAGCCAACGAACAUUAUUGACCUUCCGAAGGACGAUAUAAAGCCGUAUUCCCAUCGUUCUGGGCCGCCGUGAGUUGCCAACAAACAUCCUGAUCCUGCCCGAAAUGCUAUCCACCGAAUGACAUCUGAGCCGAUCCGAUUUAACAAACAGCAAGCUUGCCAAAAACAAGUCCGUUGGUCCGAUCAGAGCCUCGUCGGGUCCAUGGAAACGGGGCUGUGGCCAGGGUGGAAGAUUCCGGCCGGUCGGCCAGCCGCGGUGUAGUACAGAGCUACGUGACGCCGACGUACCAACUAAGCCAAGACAACCACCAUCUUCCGAGUGAAAUCAAAUGAGAUCGACUACGUGACGGCCGCGAACUCUGCUGGGCAGUGUGAUACAGUUCGUCGAGGUGUCGCCUCCCAUGGCCCUGUUGCACGCCCACGAAGCAUGUAGCAGUGCUGUACAGUUGUAUAAUAACCGGAGAUGCCGCGUGGGCCAAGGGGGUUAUGGUAGAGGAUGUCAUAGAGGAGCUGUGGACAGCCAGGGCUAGGCAUUUUGCUUGGCGACUCAUCAGAGUGUUUACGAAGGCAUUGACUCGUGGCAAAUGGAUGGCAAAUCUCAUGCUGCGUCAGGUAAAAAGUGGGCAUAGUUUUCUUGCCGAUUCCUGUAUGGUUUUCCAUGUUCGUUAUGGAGAAUUAUGUUCAGCGGUCGGUUGGAAGAAGGCCUUCACAUAUUCGGAAGAAAGUGGGUGUGAAAACCAGCUUGACAUAAUCAUAGACUGAAUGGGUCGUCGACAAAAUGAUUGGGAAUUUUUUUCCCAAACAAUUUCAAAAUUCCACUGUCCAUAGGUUAAUCAAAUCAGGAGGUGGUUGGUACUACUAGUACUAGCGAAGCAGCCGCUAUCACAUAAAACAAUGGCACGAGCCGAAUCAGAAAGACAGCCGCUGCUUGCAAAGCAUUGCCCCCACAACCAUAAGAUCAGGGGCCCCUAAAUAACCGGACAGCUAAGUUCGUCGAUGAUUCGCUCGUCUAAAAGGAGCUCAUCUAGCUCCGUUUCGUUGUAUUUCCUCGUGUCUGGAGCCUAAUGGGAGGUUAGUUAGGCGGUCGCCAAUGAUUGAGGAUUACCUGGCUGUGAUGGGAGGAGCUGGCUGGCCACAUUGGUGGCCUUCAGGUGAGAUGGACAUGGGAACUCCAUCACAUGCCCAUCUCAAGCACCAGCCCGGCGAUCCCUGUUGGGGAAGCUGUAGCAUUUCUCAUGCUGCACAUGUAGAAAUCUUCUGCGUGCCAACCGCUGUCGCCGUCGGCCCAGUGCGCGAUGAGCAUGGCACCGCCACUGCGUGGUCGCGAUCGCUACAGGCGGCUACAGGCAAUAACUCGGGGCAGUAUGUUAGUUCAGGGAAUUGAUGAUAUGGAAAUAACAGAACUUACCAUUAACUUAUACUCUACUAGCAUAGAUCAUGCCAGGCCACAUGACUCCAUGCUUAAAAUGUUACAAUGGGACCUUUCGCGGCAAACAGCAAAUGCACCCCUUGUAUGUUUAUUCUAGAAUGUUAUAAUGUCACAAAACACAGAUUAAGUUGCAAACGAAGGCAUUUCGGUGCCACGUUAUUAGAGGAACAAAGAGUUUGGUAGCCAUUCGCUGGGUAUUCGAAGAAUGAAAGAACAGAUAGCUAUGGGCUAGAUUCCCUCGAGACUUCUUGUCCCCGACUAAAUGGCUAGCAACUUCAGUCUACUUACAUGUGGAACAGUGGAAACAAAGUGUGCUUGGCAUGUGCUAUUAUUACACAAAGCUCUAUAUACGAGUUGCAACUAUAGCUCCCGUCGGUCGAUUUUCACAGAGAUGCGCCCGACUCCCAACUCAAGAGUUUGUCACGCUUUGCAGCAUGUUGUCUAGGGCUCAGAGAGCAAGAUCAGCAUACUGUUUUAACCAACUGACAACUCACAAAAAUGAGCCGAAACUGACAUUAUUCGUAUGCUUCCAUCAGACUGGCCAGUGCCCCUCCAAUCUAUGGCUUUGCUUUGAGCAAGAUGGAAGAGUAUGAAGCAAUUCUAUACCCGGAUCCAGUAAGUGGCACCCCUUCCGGUGUAAUAUCGUUUGGUGAUUCCAGGUUGGUAUCCACCUGCAAAAAGGACACAACAGCAGUUUCAGGCUAAUUAUCCACUAAACUUAUAGCAAGUCAGAACUAAGCCACUUGCUUCCAGAAAAUUGCAAAAAUCUGUCUUUCUUAGAAAACACUGGGGAAAAUAUCAGUAGAUUUUCCAAGCAAUUGAUGUAGUAGCAUGGGAGGAACUAGACAGUACGACCACUGAGUUACAAAAAGUUAGCAAGACAGGAAGUAUACAUACCACACGGUUCCAGCUUUUAUGAUGAGGUGCUGGGGGAAUCACAGCAUCCACAAAAUAGUCAUGGGCAUUGAAUGCCAAAUAGAUAUCUCCACCAGAAUUGUGGUCGUGUAUCCUACAUUAAUCGCCAAACAAAACAGUUGAGAAGACAAGAACUCGUAGCAACCAAACUACAACAAUACUAUCAUAUGGUCAGAAUGAAUUACACAAUAAAAACUGAAAGCCAAACUUCCUUACGUGAAUGCCAAGAAUUUGCUUUCCAAGUUAUCCCAACAAUCCUCAUGCCAGGUGACAUCAUUCUACAAUCAAGAAAGAUCAGAAUGCGAUGAAAACCUUUGGAAGAAAAUUCAAACCAAGAGUUACAUACUUGCAUCCUACAAAAGCUAGGAAUUGUCGUUUCUAACGUGCAAUGCACAAUAAGAGACCAGAUCACAUACUUAGCAAAUACUCAACAGAAACUGAUAACUGUAUUUCAGUAAAGGAAGAACUGUUUAUUUUCAAUACGCCGGUCAACUGCAAGAACACCACUAAGAAUUUGAACAUACUUUACUAAGAAACCUGUCCCGUUUCAGUAUUGGGUGGUUCUGACGAAACUUAAUCAUCUCUGAGAAAAACCUGAAAUGGCCAUAUCUUCUUUCCGCCAACUGUAUCAAACGGACAAGAGGAGAAAACAAGUUAGCAUAUAGAUGUGGCACAUCCAUAACACAUUUUGAAUGGAAAACCAAAAUAAUCAUGUAACCUGUUCCCACUGGAAAUUAUUUAUGCAGGUAUCAUGUCCAUAGCUAUUAUUGUUUCCAUAACGUGUAUGACCAUAUUCAUCUCCCAUCAACAUCAUUGGGGUGCCCUGUUACAAAAACAAAAGGUGCAAUUAGUAAUUUUUACAUUAUGCAAUACCACAUAAAAGUCCAACUGUGAAGUGAUCAAUAAUAUUUACUUGAGAAAUCAUUAAUGCCACAUGGAAGUUCUUCAUUUGUCUCGAACGCAGAGCUAACACAUUCGAAUCAUUUGUUUCUCCUGUUUAGCAACAAGAUCAAAAUAUGAUAACCUUCCAUGGUUGUAUUUUCUUCGAGAAACAGAAAGUGUGCGCUUCGAUGCAUUGAUAGAAAGAAUAGAGUAGUAACCGUAGAAGCCUAAGACUACGCCGAAGCAACCGACCACUCAAGACAAGACCACAACUACAAACAAACACAACCAAACCAACCCUGGCAUAGAUGCCAUCCGCACAAGCGGACAGAACACAACGCCCAUCACAAGAAGAGAGAAUCCAACUCUGCAAAGGGCAGAAUUGGGCUACUCCCACUUUGGAGGCAACAUAGUUGUAUUUGGUCUAUUCUUGAUACAGAAACUUCACUACUAAGAGUAGGCCAUGAGUUCUAUCAAGUGUCAAGCAUACUGCAAAAUUAAUUUUGAACUAAAAAUGCAUUUCGUGUUCUCCUUGUUCUUGUGCAAUACUAUACUUCAGUCAGAUAUCUUAAGAACGGCGGCACUGGAGAUCGCCUCUGUGUGGUUGGAUAUCGGCUCUGGCUGCUUGGGUGGUUGAGUCGUCGACCCGUUGGGUGCACGGCCUCAGGGCCAGUGUGCUGUGCUGCUGAUGUUUGUAAGCCAGAGUGGCGGCUUAGGGUCAUGUGGUAGGGUGUCGACUAGGGUCGCUUGGGCAGCAGAGUCGGCGGCCUAUUGGGGUGCAGCCUCGGGACCGGCGUGUUUGUAUGGCUCGUUUUAUCAGUUUUCAGCCAGUUUGUAUGGCAGGAGUAUAUGAUAAGGUAGAGCUCCUUGGUUGCUCGAAAAAGAAAAAAACUCUCUUUUCACUUGCUAAUUUCAAUAUGAAGAGCAACGCAUGAUAAUGAGUAAUGAUGGUACCUUCAACACCACAGUUCCAGCUAAAGUUAUCAUUGCAUCCAUCACGUCCACCUUCUCCAUUAGCAUCGUUGUGCUAUAUAAUUUUGGUCAAACAGAAAGCAUAUUAACAUAGAUACCACUACCUGUAUAGGACCUUACUUUAUAGUGUUUUUGGUAUACUCGAGUUACCUUUAAGUUGUAUGAUACAAGGUCACAUAAGGUGAACCCAUCAUGUGCGAUUAUAAAGUUCACACCGUGAUGAGGCUUCCGCUGGUUCACCUGCCAAUCAAUAUCACAUCAGAACUUGACUUUGCACGUGGUCCUGUUUUGAACUAUGUAAUCCUAAAUCUUCCACAUAAAAAUAAGUCUCGAAGCUUAUUCACAGAAGCUCCUAGCAGGCUAGCACCUCCAUACAUAGAGUGGUUUAAAUCUCAAAAUGGCAUCUCAUCCAAUAUUCAGAGUACAGCCAAUACCGUUAAGCAUUUGGGUGGAUCUUAGAGAAAUAAAUCAGAAUGAGCAUUGAAAACAAUGCAAAUAGAAUUGCAUACAAAAUAAAUAUGGAGGUUGGAUAUGUUAAUAGCGUAAGCUGCGCCCUGAUGACACUACGGAAAUAGCAAGUGUAUAGUUUCAACCUUCAACAACGCUGAAGACUUAAGCUCCGGAAUUUAUUUUUCUUAACACACACAUAAUUGUGUGUUCACUGUAUUUAGCUCAGGAAUUUGCAAAUACAGUAAAAAGUACACUUUUGAGUCACUUAUUUUGGGACGGAGGGAGUACUAUACAAAACAUCAAGAAACAGGGCUCCAAAAGAAAGUAUGUUUAGUGAUGAUAUAACCAAGCAAGGAAAAUCCUCAACUGAUGGACAAAAUGGCAGNNNNNNNNNNNNNNNNNNNNNNNNNNNNNNNNNNNNNNNNNNNNNNNNNNNNNNNNNNNNNNNNNNAAGAGCACAACUGAACAAAAUACCUGGUAGAGAUCAGCGGAUCCAGAUAUACGAGUUGCCAACACCCCCUUCAUACCAGGGUCACCCUGCAAAAAACCUCCAAAAUGAUUAGCAGGAUUCAAUCAUUCGUCAGUGCUUGCAGAAAUAAUUGGAAAUGUAACAAAGAAAGUAAUCAGGACAAACUCUUUUGCAGAAGUCACUCUAAAUUCAGAUCAAAUGUUACAAAAUCCACUGAUGCUAAAAAGGAAAUAUCUUGGUGUUGUAGGUCUUUGCUGAUUUAGUUAUGAUUAAUUCAAAGACAUUAUGCUAUGGAAAGCAUGAGAGAGUGGAAGCAACAGCAGUCCAUGGAAAAUUGGGUCGGUAAAUUCAAACAGGCAGAGAAGCCUCAUAAAUUCUUGAAAAGUCCAUAUUCUUCUGUGAAAAUCUUUCUCUCUGUUAGCUGUUCUGGCUUUUUUACUUUUCUGAGUUUUAUAUCGGUGGCUUGGCUUUUGUCAAUAUAAAUAUAAGAUAGAGGAUCCUUAAUCUUUCGCCACGGCAAAAUGGUCAUGAACAAAGCCAUCUAAUGAUCUGUCUUAAGAAUAUACAGAAAUGAUCAGGAUUUUGGAGAAUGUUAAAGAUCAGGAUCGGGAUAUAAAGAACAGCACCUUGAUGAACCUUCGAAGGUCGUCUCUAUACUUUCCAUUCCAUUCAGCCCACCUACAGGGGCAUUUGAUUAUAUCUUACAAAUAUUGGCAAUAUUCUCUAACAACAUUGAAACAUAUUCAGCUCUUCGUACAUUUGAAAAAGGAAACAUAGUCUAAUAAGGACUCCUAGACCAAUACUAAUACUCCCUACGUCCCAAUAUAGUGCAAAGUUGUACUGAAGUUGAGACACUUAUUUUGGGACAGAGGGAGUACUUCCUAACAGAAAUUACUGGCAACAAUUUUAGGCAACAAAAGGGACCACCAUAAGAGGAAUGCAGUUGUUAAGUAAUUUAUAAAUGGUCAUCGGAGCAUUACAUCAGCGAUGUUAGAAAAACAAAAAGUAUUUGUGCUACAUUAUCAUCGCAGUGUAAAAAUAGUUUAGUGCUAAACAAGAAACAUAGGUACGAAAAAUAUACAUAUCUAGCAAUUUCAAAUGCACAUAGUGCAAAAUUACCUGUCCCAGUUAGGAAAACGCCCUACUAGAUAAAGACCUCCACAAUCCCAAGGUUCAGCAAUUAUCUUGCAUCGAGAUAACACAGAAUCUUUCGCAAUUUCCUGUGAUCAGCAAAAUAAACAAUGAGACAAAAUAACAACAAACAUCAUAGGCUGAUAGUUCUACAAAAACACUAAUGUAGGCUAUCAGAUGAACAUUGCAGUCUUGAGAAGGUGUGAUAUAUCAUUUGCAAUUUCAUAAACGUAAGGGGGCAUUCAAAAGGUCACACAUUCAUAGGACCCUCAGGUUCCUCUAAAUCUACUUCAUUAAUGACCCACCAAUCAUUCAAAGCUGAUGAUGAAAUUUUGCAUGAUUGCACUAAAUAUCUGCCCGGCAAAUAAUGGUUCAACAACUGAGAAAGAGAAAGCAAAUACGGCAUAAAAUGUUGUGAAGUCCAUAAAUUUCAAGGUGACAUUGGUUCAAGUGAAUUCACUAGGUCACAAUUUGUAUCCGAUCAACCAUAGUUAAUGUAAGAACUUAUGUCUUGUGUUUUCAUGAUAUCAAUGAACUUCAUUUGACUAGAAAGAGGAAAACUGUAUCUCUGAUUUGAAGUUAAACACUACAAUUCUGCAACUAUAAAAUUACCCUGAUGAGUGGAGGAGCAUCAAGAGGACUGCCAUCUGGUCCGCGACAAAGAACACUUGCAAGGUCAAACCGAAAUCCAUCUAUGUGGUAUUCCUUAACCCUUGAAGCAUCAAAUAGUCAUACAAAUAAGAUAACAUACUUAAAAUAUGAUGAACUCUUCAAAAAAGAGAUCAUAAGCAAAUACUUGGUCUGAAUAUUGUAUCAAGAUAUUAAUGAACUACUGCAGUGCAGUUUUCUUGAUCCUUUGGCUGCCUUGCACUAAUACAUUUAAUAUAGGACUUGUCAGUGCAUACAAUACUUUGAUAAGGAGAUCCCUAGCGACUUCACUCGUUCAAGGUUGGAAAUACUUAAGUCGGUCCACUCACAAGGCACGAGAGUCACCACCUAGACUCCAUGAGAAUUGGUUGCCACCUGAUGCUUCUACACUUUGUAUUGGGUAUGGACUGGACAUCAUGGGUACCAAGGAGUGAGGAAACAGGAAUGAUUCGUAAGCCCAGCUACAUUCAGUCGGACUGCAACAGCACAGAGAUCUGAACAACCAUGCUACAUCAUGGGUACCAAGGAGUGAGGAAACAGGAAUGAUUCGUAAGCCCAGCUACAUUCAGUCGGACUGCAACAGCACAGAGAUCUGAACAACCAUGCUACUGGAGGCUCAGUCUGGAGGCACAGCAAGCAACCGGUCCAACCAGAAACUCGGUGUGGAUUAGACAGGUCACACGUUGUUGUUGUUUUUGUCUAGCCUGUUCCAAUCGAACUGGCUCCUAUUCACUUCGCUAGUGUGAGUGGAUAUAGAAGCGAACGCUCACCUCUUUCUUAGAGUUAGUCAAAAAUUUAAGAACAAUGGAACUCAUGAGUUUUGCUCCCCUCCUACGGUUACAGCUUCCAUGUCAUCCUACGAUUGGGAGUUCCGGAGUUUCCCCACCGUUGUUUUUGUUCCAUAUGCAAGAACCGUUUGUGCGAUGGGUUCUUUCUCAAAGGCUAUGACAUUGGCACUUGUUGCUGGCAUCGAUUGCUCAAGCAACUCGAGUCAUCCAUUCCCAUUGCCUGAAGCCCAGGCCUCCCCGUAUAUUAACUGCAGCAGUCAAGUGACUUCAUCAACUAUAACGUGUCACAACCCAGAUGAUUUGAUGGCUAUGAACUAAUGCGUGCAGUGUGUACUGCAACAUAGAGGUAGUUUUCAGUAAUUUCGGUCUAUCAGUAUCAUCUUGAUUUGAUCAUAUAGAUCCGACAGUUCAAUUCCACAUGCAUGUUUAUUUAUUUGUCAGCACUUGAUUGUGAGAGUGGAACACAAGUAUAAACAAGUGCUACCGAAGCAUUGACUAUACUGAUUAAUGAAGACUAAAGAGACGAUGAACAUGAAGACAGAAAUAUGCAUAAACUAAAAUGCAGUUGCUUGACGUAUAGAACAACAUGCAAAUCGUGCAUACCAAUGUCUCAAGCUGUCGAGUACUAGUUCCAUGACAACAGGAUGGUUGCAGUUUAGUGUAUUCCCUGGAUUAAACCGAGUAUACUGUUAACACUUAGGAGUAGACACAAGUUCCACUUACUUGAAAUUUUAAACAUACCAGAAUAUUAAGUACCUAGCCAUCUAAAUGUUAUAGUAUCAACCAGAUAAUUAAGCAGGCUUCCAAUAUUUUUUAACAAGGUUUCCCUAUAGGUAGCAAUGUGGCAGGCUCGCAUCAAUGCUUGGGUUGAAAAAUAUAGUGGCUGCAGCCAAAUAAUGACCAGGUGACCACUCUUAACACUUCCACCAGUCAAUAUAGCAGCUAACGUGGCUGCAAGGUUCAGUCUGAUGGCAUGACAAAAGAUAAUAAACAUAGAUUGAAUCAACAUUUAUCAUUUUAAAUACAUCACAACAAAGUAGCACACAGAUAUGCAGUUUAUUUGCCUAGAAGCACACAAUCACAACAUUAAUUAGCAAGGUACAUGGUUAGUAAGCGGAUCAGCAAAACAAGAUACAUUAACAUCCUUAAAGCCGGAGCAACAACGAACAUACAAAGCAUUGGGUAGCACCCUAGAACAUGUUCAUGUAUCACAAGCACGUCACAAACAAUCAAGUAACAGAAGUUCAGGAAUCAUGGUUUUACCGCAUCCCGAGAAGUUCAGCAGUUGAGAGUUGUUGUUCGGAUCUAACAUGUAAUAAACCUGCAUGAAUGAAAGUAGUGUUUUUGGUAUAAAUUCAUGUAAAACCUGAAGCAGGUGUACACUUCUAAACACUUUGGGGGUUAGAACAGAUUAACUUAACCUGGUCGCAAAUUUUACUUAGCCUUCUAAGACCACUGACUGUCUAACCCAUUAUAUAACAGGUCAAAAGGUUGGAGUGAGCAAACCCGUACACAAAUUUUGAGUUAAGCAGCCCUAUUCCGAUUCUAACCUAGUUCUUUUCAACCCGGAAUAAAACACAGUCUACACACUAGAACUAAGAAAAGAUGGAGCAACAAGCAGAUAGGUGCCUUCAUCGGCUAUAACUCAAAUAAUAAAUCACCUUGUUGUCGAUGCCACGAAAAGAAGUAACAUAAGGAUGAGCGUCAUCUGCUUCAUUCGUAUGGUUGUAAACAACGUCCAGAAUAACCUACACAAAAUGAUGAUACCAUUAAACACAUUUUAUCAUGUGGGGUGAAUAAGAAUGCUACAAUAGGUUGCCAUAUCUACUGGAUGUCAAUACCUCUAUACCAGCUUUAUGCAAUGCCUUGACCAUCUGUUUGAGCUCUCUGGAAGCAGCCAAUGGUCCACCACCAGCACUUGCAUAGCGGGUCAUGGGAGCAAAAAAGUUGAUUGUAGAAUAACCCCAUGUAUUGACCUUCCAAUUGAGAAGUUGAAAAGUCAUUUCACAAUUGAUUCCACUNNNNNNNNNNNNNNNNNNNNNNNNNNNNNNNNNNNNNNNNNNUGACAUCAUGCACAAAGUGGCAUAUCAGAAUUUUUACCAUGUGGUCCCUUGGGUUAGGGUAUCUCUUGAACUCCAGCUCAUCAAACUCAAAAACAGGUAGCAACUCCACUGCAUUAACUCCGAGUUCAAGCAAAUGCGGGAUCUACAAAACCGCAACUAUUGCAUGCAUAAGUCAUUAAACAAUAUAGGCUUGAAGCCUUGAACACUGAAAACUAAUAUGCAUAUCAGGUUCCCAACACUAGAUCACUAAAAUAAUAGUGGGAAUAUAUUUAUUCCGCUAAUAACUUCCAGUAAGGGCAGCCCGGUGCACGUAGCUCCAGGACUCGAACCCGUGACCUCAUGGUCACUAGGCAACAGCUUUACCGCUGCGCCAAGGCUCCCCUUCAAUAACUUUCAGUAAGGACAAAACAAAUAAUUGUGGUCACAAGCCACACAAUAAGAAGAAAUUAAAACUUACUUUGUCGAUGAAUCCUAGAUAGCUUCCACGAACAGCUGGAUCAAGCCCACUUGACUCAUCCGCAGUGAAAGCGCGAACGUUCAUCUCAUAUAUAACUAGAUCUGUCUAGAUUAAAGAACAGAAGAAAAGUAGUGAACUUCAUGUUUAGGAUGCUUUCUUCAUCUAUUCUAUGAAAUGAUCCUAGUACCUCAGGCAAAUUUGGAAGCUGGUAAUCAGCACCCCAAUCAAAAGGAGAGCUAUCAAAAUCAUAUGUUCCAAAAGGCUGGCUUGGCUUCCCUUUAUCAACACCAAAGUAAUUUCGACCAGAAACUAGUUUCGCGUAAGGGUCAAGAAGAAUAAUGUUGCUAUCAAACCUAUGGCCUUGUUCCCAUCCUUGAGGACCAUUAACACGAUAUCCAUAAAGAACUCCAGAAGUGGGCAACCCCUGAAAGUACAUUUAUAUAAGGCUUCAUUCAUCAUAUAUGCAUGGGAAAAUACAUAGAAGCAAAAUAGGCACAGAUUUCUCCUCCUAACAAUAAAUAUUGUAAAGAACAUAGGAUAUGUUUUCAGCCAAGACCAAAAGAGAACAUAAGGAUUUCUCCUCCCAACAAUAAAUAUUGUAAAGAAUAUAAGGAUAUGUUUUUCAGCCAAGACCAAAAUAGAUAGAUGUGUAACAUGCUGGAAGCUUUUUCUAUAGAAGGGGUUUUCUCCUCUAUUUCACCCAGAAACCACAAAAACCCUUGCAGUAAACUGAAACAUGCUAGAAGUGACACAGUGAGAUAGCCAAAGUUAUGAGCCUGCACUACUCAGCAGUGCAUUUUUUUUUCUUUUUAUGAAUGAGUUGACGUGAUAAGAUCAGUGCUUUCAAAGCAUAUGAUUCUCAUAAAAUUAAAUCUUGUUACUCAGUGAGAUAGCCAAAGUUAUGAGCCUGCACUACUCAGCAGUGCAUUUUUUUUCUUUUUAUGAAUGAGUUGACAUGAUAAGAUCAGUGUUUUCAAAAUAUAUGAUUCUCAUAAAAUUGAAUCUUGUUUUGAAGAAUAUGUAAUACAGAUACACAUGAGGCGAAUGAUGGGAUUCUUCUUCCAUAAAUGUCAGCCACACCAAGUUGUCAAUAUUGAAAAGAAUAAUGCCUUAUCUUCGAAGGUACAGAUAACAUGAAAGCUUCAUAACAAUACCUCCACCAACACAUGCCAUAUAUCUCCAGUUUUGUUCUUCUGGCAAUCUAAAGCAAACUCCACAAGUUUUUCACUUUCUUCAUCCUUGGUUCCUCUGAAGGGCAAUCAAGUAUGUCAGACAAUGAGAAAAUCAUAUUCCGUUGGAAAGAGAAUGCAAGAUGAACAAGCUAAAGUACAACGCUGAUCUGCAAAAGGUUAUUCCAACCAGGCCAACAGCCCAGAUCAACUAAUAAAAUGGCAACCUGGGAACCAAAUAAACAUUGUUUUGUGCAUUCGAUCUGCAACACACACAAACAGUUGAUCAAAGUGAUGUGUUUUGGCUUUGUGAACAACUUGUUUUGUGGGAAACCAGGAUUCAUGAGUUCUAGCCUAAAAGGCAAAAACAGUUCACUUAAAUGACACUGAAAGCAACAAAACCACACAAUUUAGGAAAGAUUGUCUGUACCUCUCAGCAAGCUUGAUGCAGAGAGUGACAGAAGAAGCAUGUUGAGAGAAAAUCGCGAAGUUGAUACCACUUUCAACCUGCGACACUCCUAGAGGGGAUGCUUUGCCGGAAGAAUAUUUCAAGGGCAUUUCGGUGCCUGCCAUUGCGCUUUCCUUUUCCUGGCGAUGUUACAGAAUGAACAUACACUUUAGCAAAAAGUACAUGAUACAGAACGGGGAAUAAGGAUAUUCAGCAUCAUACAGUUAAUGAAUACUUGAAUUCAAACAUAUUCGCUUAGCGGAAAGUUUCACCAGGACAAUAACUCAUGACAUGUCAAAUUACCACGAAUGUAUAUCAAACAAACAAUUCAGUACACCGGCAGCUAAAUGGAUACAGUACGAUACAACCAUGCAUGGGAUGAACACUUGAGCACGGUGCGAUACCUCGGUCGCGAUUCUCCCAGCAUUACCAGCCUGAGCUCUCGCCGUGGUAGUCCGCACGGACCCAAAUCGCUGUGCCUGCACCACGACAAAAUCCGCUCGGAUCAAUCCACCAAUUAGAACGGAUAUAUGGAUGCACCCCGCGAAAAAAAAAAGUAGUACAAAAAUCGAGACACCUGCCUUUCCGAAAUGCCCUCCUCCGCACCCGGGCGCGACCCCAAGCCUGCUCGCCGCCACACUGCACAACCAACCACAUUACACAUGCAUCAUUCAGAGCGGCAGAUUGAACGGCACGAAAACGACAGAAUGCAGCGCGGCGAAACGAGGUCGCGCGAAGAGAGGGGGAAACACGCACCGGUUCGGAAGCGCGGAGCUGCUGCUUCGGCGUGCGGUGGCGGUGGCGGUGGCGGCGGCGGCGGGGCGCAGCGGGGAGCGAUUUGUAGAGGCCGCCGAAUCCAUCCAAAUGAGGGGGGUGGUGCUGGGACGGGUGGCGGGAGGGGUUUGACCCGGGACCGGGGCUAGUUAUAGGGGCCCGUGGACGCGGUCAUGGGGCGGCUCUCGAGGUCGACGGAGUGGAGUGGCGAUGGGGAGCGCAAGUCGGAGCGGGAGGAGGAGGAGGAUGCGGCGGUGAUCUCACCUCGGGGAGGGCGCGCGGGGGAAUGGGGCGACGGGGAUGGGGGGUGGACACGUGGUGNNNNNNNNNNNNNNNNNNNNNNNNNNNNNNNNNNNNNNNNNNNNNNNNNNNNNNNNNNNNNNNNNNNNNNNNUAGGGAAGUGGACGGACGACCUCGCUUCCGGGCAUCCGGCCCGACGUGUGGUGUCGUGUCGUCAUGCGCUUUCUGUAGAACAGUUUUUUUUCUUCUUACAACAGUUACUAGUGGUGUCCUCUAAAAAAGAAACAGUUACCGGUGAAUGAUAGCACUGUUUGUACUCUGACUGAGUUAAACGUUAGAGUUAGGCCAUGUUUCUUUAAAAAGUCUUAGGACUUUUUUUAGUCCCAACUAAAAAGUCUCUAGUCCCUACCUGUUUUUUUUCUAAAAAUUAAACAUGGACUAAAGGUCAUUAAAUGACAUGAAAAAAAAUAUGUUACCCGUAGUAAUAUACUAGAAGUUAUUAAAUGACAUGCUAAAAGUAGGGGCACUGUUGGAAAAAGUGCCAAAAAAGUCCCAAAAAGUCCCUCCCAUAGGGACUUCUUCAUUUAGUCCCAAAUACCCCAUUUUAGUCCCUAAAAGUCCCUCGUGUUUCUUUCACAUGGGACUAAAAGGGACUUUUUUUAGUCUAUACACCAAAAAGUCCCUGGAAAGAAACACCCCCUCAGAUUAUAAGGUUGGUCGUAAUGGGAGUACCAUAGCUAGUAUCAUGCAUGCCAACUAAGCAAUUUUGAUGAGGUGGUAUAAAAUUAAAUAAAAAAAAGAGGGUUGAGUAUCAUAUCAUGAUAUGAUGAUACCGUAUCAUAUUAAAUGAUGUGCUACUAGUAUGUGUCUUGCAUGACAAUAAAUGAAUUAUCCUAUGAUACUAACAUAUGAUGCUAUGCAUUACGGAUGUGGUAUCAUCCACUAGUAUCAUAUGCAUGAUACUAACAUAUGAUACUACCCAUUACAAUCUCUGGUUGUAAUGCAAGACACGUAAUAGCACAUCAUUUAAUAUGAUACGGUAUCAUAAUAUGAUACUCAAUCCUCUCUUUCUUCAUUUAAUUCUAUGUCACCUCAUCGAAAUUGCUUAGUUGGCAUGCAUGAUACUACCUAUGAUACUCCUAUUACGGGCAGCCUAAUACUGAACUAACUCUAACCAGAGAGGUGUUUGGAUGUCAGGGUUAGAUUGAUAAUAAAUACUAUUUUUCAAUCAUUUGGUUACUUUGGACCGUAUUUCCUGCCGGAUUUGGUGUGGCCGCCCCUUGUGUGGCCUCCUCCCGCUCGGGGGGCGGCUAUGGUUGUGGCUACGGGAGGGGAUGUGGAUGGGUCGAAGGGAUCUGGUGCGGUGGAGGCGGAGGGAAAAGUGAUUUUUUUUCGACCUCACCUAACUCUAACCCAAAUAAACACCUCGCCAUGGAGUUUUUUUUUGGUGGGUUAGAUGCAUCUAACCAAAACUUACCCUCUUGUUUGGAUGUUUUUGGUUAGUUAAGCCUAAGCUAACCCAAACUAACUCUAACCCAUUUAUCCAAACAGAACCGAUGAGAAACGGUCGGAUUCACAAACAGAUCAGGUGGGAAACUAGCUUUAAGAGCAUCUUCAUCCAUGAUUUGCAAAUUUGGGCCCUGAAACGUCCGCGGACGCGCCUGGUUAGUGACCGGACGUCUCUAUUUGUCCUCCCGUGUAUUCACACUCCUCAUUUUCUUCCUCAUAUGUCCGGUCACUUCCACGUUAUUGGUGAAGAGGAAGAGAGAGAAAGAAAAGAAUGAAUAAAGAAAAGAAAAGGAUGGUCUAGGGCGGGGUUGCGUCCUAUGUGGCGGACUGACCGAGCGCGCCCAGGCGCGUCCGCGAGGCCUCAUAUCCUUCUCAUAUUUAAGAUGGAUAUGAGGGUUCACGGACAACCCGGACAUAUAGGGACUAUAUGAGGGGUCUGGUUGGGUCACUUUUUCCUUCUCUCUCCUGUUCGGUCACUAACCGGACGCGUUCGCGGACGUAUGAGGGGUCAUUUGAGGGGUACAGUUGCGCAACCAUACUCUCUCGAUGGUGGCGCCCCAUAUGGCAUUGUGCCUCUCUCGGCCUCAUCAACGAGCACAUGCUCUGCAAUGACUAUCGCAAACGCUUGGAUGCAUUGUCCCAGAUCCUCGACACACACUGUGGCCCAAUCAGAGGCCUUACUAUGGGCAGGUUUCAUUCCAACGGCAAGGACCGAGCCAAGCUCGACGAGUGGUUCUUAUCGUCCGCCCUAGAUUAGCUCGAGGAGCUCACUUUAAUGAUGGACAUAUGCGCUCAUUGCCACCCUCCACGUUGCACCUCGCGCUUAAGUUGCACAAUGCUAGGUUCGUGAACUGCCAUUUCCCCGAGAUUAACAUCGAUCCCGCAUUUUUACUACCUCGGCUGAAGCACCUCGAGCUCGUCGAUUUCUGCAUCCCCAAUGAUGACACGGAGUGCCUGCUCCGCGGCUAUACUGCGCUCGAGUACCUUCAUCUUUAGGCAAUCAAUGGAUUGAGUAUCCUCCACAUCGCCUCCUUGAGUCUUUGGACAAUUUGUGUGUAUUGGUGGUGCUGUAAUAGGAGAUCAGACAAGUUGAAUCACCAAAUGGUCAUCGAGGAUGCGCCUUUACUGGAGAGAUUACUUGUAGUCGAUCAACAAGGUCCAACAAGAAUCAGGGUCAUUUAUGCACCGAAGUUGACCGUGUUUCCCUACUCUCACAUCAACUUCUCUGAACUUGUUAUUGGAUCCAUAACCAUCCAGGUACAUCAGUCGCCUUCUUAUCCUCCUUGAAAUAAACAUUUAUUUUUCUGUAUUAAAGAUGUAUGUUCGUUUGUCAUUCGAAAUAUUAUUCCAACAAGCUCGAUGAAAGGACGUGGAUGUCGCCUAGAGGGGGGGGAAUAGGCGCUUUAAAAUAAUUAAGGUUUAGGCUUGAACAAAUGCGGAAUAAAACUAACGUUUAAUAUGUCAAGCACAAAACCUAAAAACAACUAGGCUCACCUAUGUGCACCAACAACUUAUGCUAAGCAAGAUAAACAACUAAGUGAUAGCAAGAUAUAUUACAAUAAACAAUAUGUCUAUCACAAAGUAAAGUGCAUAAGUAAAGGGUUCGGGUAAGAGAUAACCGAGGCACGGGGAGACGAUGAUGUAUCCCGAAGUUCACACCCUUGAGGAUGCUAAUCUCCAUUAGAGUGGUGUGGAGGCACAAUGCUCCCCAAGAUGCCACUAAGGCCACCGUAAUCUCCUCACGCCCUCGCACAAUGCAAGAUGCCGUGAUUCCACUAAGGGACCCUUGAGGGCGGUCACCGAACCCAUACAAAUGGCAAUCCUUGGGGGCGGUCACCGAACCCGUACGCGUGGCAACCCUUGGGGGCGGUUACCGGUACCCGUACAAAUUGCUCGGGGCUAUCUCCACAACCUAAUUGGAGACCCCGACGCUUGCCCGGAGCUUCACACCACAAUGAUUGAGCUCCGAGACACCACCAAGCUUCUAGGAUGCCAAAGCAUCCACGAAGAACAAUAUCUAGGGUACUAAGUACCAAAGGUAGUAAGCUUCUCAACUUCUCACUUCCACGUAUCACCGUGGAGAACUCAAACCGAUGCAACUAAUGCAAUGGCAAGAACACACAAAGUGGUCAAGUCCCUCACACUCAAAUCCCUCCACAACAACAAAAGCUAUGGAGAAAUAUGAGAGGAAGAACAAGGAGCUCACAAAGAACUCCAAGAUCUAGAUCCAAGGGGUUCUCCUCACAUAGAGGAGAAAGUGAUUGGUGGAGAUGUGGAUCUAGAUCUCCUCUCUCUUUUCCCUCAAGAACAAGCAAGAAUCAUUGGAGGGAUUGAGAGUUAGCAAGCUCUAAGAAUGUCAACUAUGGAGGUAGAACAAGAGCUCAACGGAUAGAUGAGGCCAAGGGGGAAGAAGACCCCCUUUAUAUAGUGGGGGAAGGAAUCAGACCGUUACCCCCACUUACAGCCCGAGCCCAGCGGUACUACCGCUGGCUCCAGCGGUACUACUGCUGGCUGCAGCGGUACUACCGCUGACCCUCCGGCGGUACUACCGCUGACUGCAGCGGUACUAUCGUGGACCCUCCAGCGGUACUACCGCUGGCUGCAGCGGUACUACCGCUGAGCCCAUGGUAGCGCAAAGAUACUACCGGGCCAACCACCGCCAAGAAAGUCUUCGCAAAAAUGUCCGACGCAGUACAACCGCAAAGAUGACGGUACUAAAAACUUGGAGCGGUACUACCGCUGGCCAGGGGCGGUGCUACCACUAGGGCCAGCGGUACUACCGCCAACUCUAGCGGUACUACCGCUAGGUCCAGCGGUACUACCGCUCGCCACUGAGACAGCCAUAACUUUCGCAUACGAGCUCCGAAUCAAGCAAACCCAAGCUUGUUGGAAAUCUUAAGACCAUGCAGAUAUGAAAAUGACAAUGAUAUAGAGAUGUGAGUCCUCUAAGAAUGAAGAACCGGAAAAAACUCCAACAUCGAAAACUGUUGGAAUUAUGCCCUAGAGGCAAUAAUAAAUAUAUAGUUAUUAUUAUAAUUCUUGUAUCAAGAUAAUAGUUUAUUAUCCAUGCUAUAAUUGUAUUGAAUGAAGACUCAUUUACAUGUGUGGAUACAUAGACAAAACACCGUCCCUAGCAUGCCUCUAGUUGGCUAGCCAGUUGAUCGAUGAUAGUCAGUGUCUUCUGAUUAUGAACAAGGUGUUGUUGCUUGAUAACUGGAUCAUGUCAUUGGGAGAAUCACGUGAUGGACUAGACCCAAACUAAUAGACGUAGCAUGUUGAUCGUGUCAUUUUGUUGCUACUGUUUUCUGCGUGUCAAGUAUUUAUUCCUAUGACCAUGAGAUCAUAUAACUCACUGACACCGGAGGAAUGCUUUGUGUGUAUCAAACGUCGCAACGUAACUGGGUGACUAUAAAGAUGCUCUACAGGUAUCUCCGAAGGUAUUAGUUGAGUUAGUAUGGAUCAAGACUGGGAUUUGUCACUCCGUGUGACGGAGAGGUAUCUCGGGGCCCACUCGGUAAUACAACAUCACACACAAGCCUUGCAAGCAAUGUAACUUAGUGUAAGUUGCGGGAUCUUGUAUUACGGAACGAGUAAAGAGACUUGCCGGUAAACGAGGUUGAAAUAGGUAUACGGAUACUGACGAUCGAAUCUCGGGCAAGUAACAUACCGAAGGACAAAGGGAAUGACAUACGGGAUUAUAUGAAUCCUUGGCACUGAGGUUCAAACGAUAAGAUCUUCGUAGAAUAUGUAGGAUCCAAUAUGGGCAUCCAGGUCCCGCUGUUGGAUAUUGACCGAGGAGUCUCUCGGGUCAUGUCUACAUAGUUCUCGAACCCGCAGGGUCUGCACACUUAAGGUUCGACGUUGUUUUAUGCGUAUUUGAGUNNNNNNNNNNNNNNNNNNNNNNNNNNNNNNNNNNNNNNNNNNNNNNNNNNNNNNNNNNNNNNNNNNNNNNNNNNNNNNNNNNNNNNNNNNNNNNNNNNNNNNNNNNNNNNNNNNNNNNNNNNNNNNNNNNNNNNNNNNNNNNNNNNNNNNNNNNNNNNNNNNNNNNNNNNNNNNNNNNNNNNNNNNNNNNNNNNNNNNNNNNNNNNNNNNNNNNNNNNNNNNNNNNNNNNNNNNNNNNNNNNNNNNNNNNNNNNNNNNNNNNNNNNNNNNNNNNNNNNNNNNNNNNNNNNNNNNNNNNNNNNNNNNNNNNNNNNNNNNNNNNNNNNNNNNNNNNNNNNNNNNNNNNNNNNNNNNNNNNNNNNNNNNNNNNNNNNNNNNNNNNNNNNNNNNNNNNNNNNNNNNNNNNNNNNNNNNNNNNNNNNNNNNNNNNNNNNNNNNNNNNNNNNNNNNNNNNNNNNNNNNNNNNNNNNNNNNNNNNNNNNNNNNNNNNNNNNNNNNNNNNNNNNNNNNNNNNNNNNNNNNNNNNNNNNNNNNNNNNNNNNNNNNNNNNNNNNNNNNNNNNNNNNNNNNNNNNNNNNNNNNNNNNNNNNNNNNNNNNNNNNNNNNNNNNNNNNNNNNNNNNNNNNNNNNNNNNNNNNNAUCGUCGAGCUGUACGUGUGCUGAACGCGGAGGUGCCGUCCGUUCGGUACUAGAUCGUGGGACUGAUCGCGGGAUUGUUCGCGGGGCGGAUCGAGGGACGUGAGGACGUUCCACUACAUCAACCGCGUUCUCUAACGCUUCUGCUGUACGAUCUACAAGGGUACGUAGAUCACUCAUCCCCUCUCGUAGAUGGACAUCACCAUGAUAGGUCUUCGUGCGCGUAGGAAUUUUUUUGUUUCCCAUGCGACGUUCCCCAACAGUGGCAUCAUGAGCUAGGUUCAUGCGUAGAUGUCUUCUCGAGUAGAACACAAAAGGUUUUGUGGGCGGUGAUGUGCGUUUUGCUGCCCUCCUUAGUCUUUUCUUGAUUCCGCGGUAUUGUUGGAUUGAAGCGGCUUGGACCGACAUUACUCGUACGCUUACGAGAGACUGGUUUCAUCGUUACGAGUAACCGCCUUUGCUCAAAGAUGACUGGCAAGUGUCGGUUUCUCCAACUUUAGUUGAAUCGGAUUUGACCGAGGAGGUCCUUGGAUGAGGUUAAAUAGCAACUCAUAUAUCUCCGUUGUGGUGUUUGCGUAAGUAAGAUGCGAUCCUACUAGAUACCCUUGGUCACCACGUAAAACAUGCAACAACAAAAUUAGAGGACGUCUAACUUGUUUUUGCAGGGUAUGAUUGUGAUGUGAUAUGGCCAACGAUGUGAUGUGAUAUAUUGGAUGUAUGAGAUGAUCAUGUUGUAAUAGAAAUAUCGACUUGCAUGUCGAUGGUACGACAACCGGCAGGAGCCAUAGGGUUGUCUUUAUACUAACGUUUGUGCUUGCAGAUGCGUUUACUAUUUUGCUAGGAUGUAGCUUGAGUAGUAAUAGCAUAAGUAGCACGACAACCCCGAUGGCAACACGUUGAUGGAUGAUCAUGGUGUGGCGCCGGUGACAAGAAGAUCGUGCCGGUGCUUUGGUGAUGGAGAUCAAGAAGCACGUGAUGAUGGCCAUAUCAUGUCACUUAUGAAUUGCAUGUGAUGUUAAUCCUUUUUGCACCUUGUUUUGCUUAGAACGACGGUAGCAUUAUGAGGUGAUCUCUCACUAAAAUUUCAAGACGAAAUUGUGUUCUCCCCGACUGUGCACCGUUGCUACAGUUCGUCGUUUCGAGACACCACGUGAUGAUCGGGUGUGAUAGACUCAACGUUCACAUACAACGGGUGCAAAACAGUUGCGCAUGCGGAACACUCGGGUUAAGCUUGACGAGCCUAGCAUGUGCAGACAUGGCCUCGAAACACAUGAGACCGAAAGGUCGAUCAUGAAUCAUAUAGUUGAUAUGAUUAGCAUAGGGAUGCUUACCACUGAAACUAUACUCAACUCACGUGAUGAUCGGACUUGGGAUAGUGUAAGUGGAUCAUGAACCACUCAAAUGACUAGAGAGAUGUACUUUUUGAGUGGGAGUUUAGCAUAUAAUUUGAUUAAGUUGAACUCUAAUUAUCUUGAACAUAGUCUAAGUCCAUUUUGAAUAUAUUUGUGUUGUAGAUCAUGGCUCACGCAAGUGUCAUCCUGAAUUUUAAUACGUUCCUAGAGAAAGCUAAGUUGAAAGAUGAUGGAAGCAACUUUGUAGACUAGGCUCGUAAUCUUAAGCUUAUCUUACAAGCUGGAAAGAAGGAUUAUGUCCUUAAUGCUGCGCUAGGAGAUGAACCACCCGCUACGGCUGAUCAGGAUGUUAAGAACGCUUGGUUAGCACGUAAGGAGGACUACUCAAUAGUUCAAUGUGCAGUCUUGUAUGGCUUAGAACCGGGACUUCAACGUCGCUUUGAGCGUCAUGGAGCAUUUGAGAUGUUCCAGGAGUUGAAGUUUAUCUUUCAGAAGAACGCCCGGAUCGAGAGGUAUGAGACCUCCGAUAAAUUCUAUGCUUGCAAGAUGGAGGAAAACUCGUCUGUCAGUGAACAUGUGCUCAAAAUGUCUGGGUACUCAAACCGUCUAGCUGAACUGGGGAUUGAACUCCCGCAAGAAGCUAUCACUGACAGAAUCCUUCAAUCACUGCCGCCAAGCUAUAAAGGCUUUGUGUUGAACUACAACAUGCAAGGGAUGAACAAGUCUCCCGGCGAGUUGUUUGCGAUGCUGAAAGUCGCAGAGUCUGAACUCCGUAAAGAGCAUCAAGUGUUGAUGGUGAGCAAGACCACUAGUUUCAAGAGAAACGGCAAAGGCAAGAAGGGCAAUUCGAAGAAGAGCGGCAAGCCUGUUGCCAAUCCGCCGAAGAAACCCAUGGCUGGACCUAAGCCUGAAACAGAGUGCUUCUAUUGCAAGGGUAUGGGUCACUGGAAGCGCAAUUGCCCCAAGUAUCUGGCAGAUAAGAAGGCGGGCAAAGAAAAAUCAGGUAUAUUUGAUAUACAUGUUAUUGAUGUGUACUUAACCGGCUCUCGUAGUAGUGCCUGGGUAUUCGAUACCGGUUCUGUUGCUCACAUUUGCAACUCGAAGCAGGAACUGCGGAAUAGACGAAGGCUGACGAAAGACGAAGUGACGAUGCGCGUAGGAAACGGUUCCAAGGUUGAUGCAAUCGCCGUCGGUGCAGUGUCACUUCAACUACCAUCGGGAUUAGUGAUGAACUUAAAUCAUUGUUAUUUAGUGCGUGCGUUGAGCAUGAACAUUAUAUCUGGAUCUUGUUUAUUGCGAGACGGUUACUCUUUUAAGUCUGAGAAUAAUGGUUGUUCUAUUUCUAUGAGUAACAUCUUUUAUGGUCAUGCACCGAAUGUGAGAGGAUUGUUCAUAUUGAAUCUUGAUAGAGAUACGCAUAUACAUAACAUUGAGACCAAAAGAGUUAGAGUAAACAAUGAUAGCGCCAUAUUUUUGUGGCACUGCCGCUUGGGUCAUAUUGGUGUAAAGCGCAUGAAGAAACUCCAUGUUGAUGGACUUUUGGAGUCACUUGACUUUGAUUCACUUGACACGUGCGAACCAUGCCUCAUGGGCAAGAUGACUAAGACUCCGUUCUCCGGAACAAUGGAGCGUGCAAGUGACUUGUUGGAAAUCAUACAUACCGAUGUGUGUGGUCCAAUGAGCGUGGAGGCACGCGUCGGAUAUCGUUAUUUUCUCACCUUCACUGACGAUUUAAGUAGAUAUGGUUAUGUCUACUUGAUGAAGCACAAGUCUGAAACAUUUGAAAAGUUCAAGCAAUUUCAGAGUGAAGUGGAAAAUCAUCGUAACAAGAAGAUCAAGUUCCUACGGUCUGAUCGUGGGGGUGAAUAUCUGAGUUUCGAGUUUGGUACUCACUUAAGACAAUGUGGAAUUGUUUCGCAGUUAACACCGCCUGGAACACCACAGCGUAAUGGUGUGUCCGAACGUCGUAAUCGUACUUUGUUAGAAAUGGUGCGAUCUAUGAUGUCUCUUACUGAUUUGCCGUUAUCGUUUUGGGGUUAUGCAUUAGAAACAGCUGCAUUCACUUUAAAUAGGGCACCAUCAAAAUCCGUUGAGACGACACCAUACGAACUGUGGUAUGGCAAAAGGCCAAAGUUGUCGUUUCUUAAAGUUUGGGGAUGUGAUGCUUAUGUCAAAAAGCUUCAGCCUGAAAAGCUGGAACCCAAAGCGGAAAGGUGCGUCUUCAUAGGUUACCCAAAAGAGACAGUUGGGUACACCUUCUAACUCAAAUCCGAGGGCAAAGUGUUUGUUGCUAAGAACGGAACUUUUCUCGAGAAGGAGUUUCUCUCGAGAGAAUUGAGUGGGAGGAAGAUAGAACUUGACGAGGUUGUCGAACCUCUCAUCCCUCUGGAUGGUGGCGCAGGGCAAGGGGAAACCUCUGUCAUUGCGACGCCGGUUGAGGAGGAAGUUAAUGAUGAUGAUCAUGAAACUCCAGUUCAAGUUUCUGUUGAACCACGCAGGUCGACGAGAUCACGCGCUGCUCCAGAGUGGUACGGUAAUCCCGUCUUAUCAAUCAUGUUGUUAGACAACAAUGAACCUGCAAAUUAUGAAGAAGCAAUGGUGGGCCCAGAUUCCAACAAAUGGCUAGAAGCCAUGAAAUCCGAGAUAGGAUCCAUGUAUGAGAACAAAGUGUGGACUUUGGAGAUACUGCCUGAGGGCCGCAAGGCUAUUCAGAACAAAUGGAUCUUUAAGAAGAAGACGGACGCUGACGGUAAUGUGACCGUUUAUAAAGCUCGACUUGUGGCAAAGGGUUUUUCACAAGUUCCAGGAAUUGACUACGAUGAGACUUUCUCUCCCGUAGCGAUGCUUAAGUCCGUAAGAAUCAUGUUAGCAAUAGCUGCAUUUUUCGAUUAUGAAAUCUGGCAGAUGGAUGUCAAAACGGCGUUCCUUAACGGUUUCCUUAAGGAAGAGUUGUAUAUGAUGCAACCCGAAGGUUUUUUCGAUUCUAAAAAUGCUGACAAGGUGUGCAAGCUCCAGCGAUCCAUUUAUGGACUGGUGCAAGCAUCUCGGAGUUGGAACAAACGCUUUGAUGAGGUGAUCAAAGCAUUUGGGUUUAUACAAGUGGUUGGAGAAUCUUGUAUUUACAAGAAAGUGAGUGGGAGCUCUGUGGCGUUUCUAAUAUUAUAUGUGGAUGACAUAUUACUGAUUGGAAACAAUGUAGAGCUUUUGGAGAGCAUAAAAGGUUACUUGAAUAAAAGUUUCUCUAUGAAGGACCUAGGAGAAGCUGCUUACAUUCUAGGCAUUAAGAUCUAUAGGGAUAGAUCAAAACGCCUGAUAGGACUUUCACAAAGCACAUACCUUGAUAAAGUUUUGAAGAGGUUCAAAAUGGAACAGUCCAAGAAAGGGUUCUUGCCAGUGUUACAAGGUACGAGAUUGAGUAAGACUCAGUGCCCAGCAACUGAUGAAGAUAGAGAGCAUAUGCGCUCCGUCCCCUAUGCUUCAGCCAUAGGCUCUAUCAUGUAUGCCAUGCUGUGCACUAGACCGGAUGUUAGCCUGGCCAUAAGUAUGGCAGGUAGGUUCCAGAGUAAUCCAGGAGUGGAUCACUGGAUGGCGGUCAAGAAUAUCCUGAAGUACCUGAAAAGGACUAAGGAGAUGUUUCUCGUGUAUGGAGGUGACGAAGAGCUCGCCGUAAAAGGUUACGUCGAUGCAAGCUUUGACACAGAUCCGGACGACUCUAAGUCGCAAACCGGAUACGUAUUUAUUCUUAAUGGGGGUGCAGUAAGCUGGUGCAGUUCCAAGCAAAGCGUCGUAGCAGAUUCUACAUGUGAAGCGGAGUACAUGGCUGCCUCGGAGGCGGCUAAGGAGGGUGUCUGGAUGAAGCAGUUCAUGACGGAUCUUGGAGUGGUGCCAAGUGCACUGGAUCCAAUAACCUUGUUCUGUGACAAUACUGGUGCCAUUGCCUUAGCAAAGGAACCAAGGUUUCACAAGAAGACCAGACACAUCAAACGACGCUUCAACCUCAUCCGCGACUACGUCGAGGAGGAGGACGUAAAUAUAUGCAAAGUGCACACGGAUCUGAAUGUAGCAGACCCGCUGACUAAACCUCUUCCAUGGCCAAAACAUGAUCGACACCAAACUGUAUGGGUGUUAGAUUUAUUACAAUGUAAUUCACAUGGUGAUGUGAGGGCUAGAUUAUUGACUCUAGUGCAAGUGGGAGACUGUUGGAAUUAUGCCCUAGAGGCAAUAAUAAAUGUAUAGUUAUUAUUAUAAUUCCUGUAUCAAGAUAAUAGUUUAUUAUCCAUGCUAUAAUUGUAUUGAAUGAAGACUCAUUUACAUGUGUGGAUACAUAGACAAAACACCGUCCCUAGCAUGCCUCUAGUUGGCUAGCCAGUUGAUCGAUGAUAGUCAGUGUCUUCUGAUUAUGAACAAGGUGUUGUUGCUUGAUAACUGGAUCACGUCAUUGGGAGAAUCACGUGAUGGACUAGACCCAAACUAAUAGACGUAGCAUGUUGAUCGUGUCAUUUUGUUGCUACUGUUUUUUGCGUGUCAAGUAUUUAUUCCUAUGACCAUGAGAUCAUAUAACUCACUGACACCGGAGGAAUGCUUUGUGUGUAUCAAACGUCGCAACGUAACUGGGUGACUAUAAAGAUGCUCUACAGGUAUCUCCGAAGGUAUUAGUUGAGUUAGUAUGGAUCAAGACUGGGAUUUGUCACUCCGUGUGACGGAGAGGUAUCUCGGGGCCCACUCGGUAAUACAACAUCACACACAAGCCUUGCAAGCAAUGUAACUUAGUGUAAGUUGCGGGAUCUUGUAUUACGGAACGAGUAAAGAGACUUGCCGGUAAAACGAGAUUGAAAUAGGUAUGCGGAUACUGACGAUCGAAUCUCGGGCAAGUAACAUACCGAAGGACAAAGGGAAUGACAUACGGGAUUAUAUGAAUCCUUGGCACUGAGGUUCAAACGAUAAGAUCUUCGUAGAAUAUGUAGGAUCCAAUAUGGGCAUCCAGGUCCCGCUAUUGGAUAUUGACCGAGGAGUCUCUCGGGUCAUGUCUACAUAGUUCUCGAACCCGCAGGGUCUGCACACUUAAGGUUCGACGUUGUUUUAUGCGUAUUUGAGUNNNNNNNNNNNNNNNNNNNNNGGAAACAAAGAUUGAUAUAUAGGAUGACCUCAUUUGAUUACCGGAAGGUUUUCGGAGUUACCGGGAAUGUACCGGGAAUGACGAAUGGGUUCCGGGAGUUCACCGGAGGGGGGCAACCCACUCCGGGGAAGCCCAUGGGCAUUUGGGGGGGUCACACCAGCCCUUAGUGGGCUGGUGGGACAGCCCACCAAUCCCCUAUGCGCCAAGAGAGAAAAAAUCAAAGGAAAGAAAAAAAGGGAAGAAGUGGGAAGGGGGAAGGACUCCCUCCCACCAAACCAAGUAGGACUCGGUUUGGGGGGGGGGGGGGAGCCCUCCCCCCUGGCUCGGCCGACCCCUUGGGGAUCCCUUGGACCCCAAGGCAAGGUCCCCCUCCCUCCUCCUAUAUAUAUGGGGCUUUUAGGGCAGAUUUGAGACGACUUUCUCACGGCUGCCCGACCACAUACCUCCAUAGUUUUUCCUCUAGAUCGUGUUUCUGCGGAGCUCGGGCGGAGCCCUGCUGAGACAAGAUCAUCACCAACCUCCGGAGCGCCGUCACGCUGCCGGAGAACUCUUCUACCUCUCCGUCUCUCUUGCUGGAUCAAGAAGGCCGAGAUCAUCGUCGAGCUGUACGUGUGCUGAACGCGGAGGUGCCGUCCGUUCGGUACUAGAUCGUGGGACUGAUCGCGGGAUUGUUCGCGGGGCGGAUCGAGGGACGUGAGGACGUUCCACUACAUCAACCGCGUUCUCUAACGCUUCUGCUGUACGAUCUACAAGGGUACGUAGAUCACUCAUCCCCUCUCGUAGAUGGACAUCACCAUGAUAGGUCUUCGUGCGCGUAGGAAAAUUUUUGUUUCCCAUGCGACGUUCCCCAACAAAAACAUCAUAGUAGAUGCAUAUGGACUCCGUUUUUGAUGAACUCGAGCUUGUCACGAAGAUGACCAUAAGCUCUAAAACUCACAAAGAGAAACACCAAACAAGAACCAAGAAGUAUGAUGCAAGGAUGCAAAUGGUUUGAGCUCUCAACGAACGAUACGAUCAAGCUACUCACUUGAGAUCCCCCCUUGAUAGUACAACAAUCUAUCCUAAACAGAAAACCUAUCAAGGGCAAACCUAUACCUUGCACCUCGUCCUCUUGAGCUAGAUGUUGAUGAUCUUGGCUUCCUCAAGAUGGACCACCUUUCUUGAUUGUGUUGGCUUGAUGAAGACUAGUUGAUUGCUCCCCCAUACUCACUAUGGGUGAGCCACUCUUUAGCAAAUCUUCACAAGUCCAUUGCCACCACAAUGGACAGCAAGCUUCAAGCAUGAUAUCUUCGUGCUGAUCCACUUGAACUUGCACAUCGCAAUCUUGAUGACGAUCACAACUUGACGUCAUACUUCAUGAGUUGUAUGAGAUCUUCCCUUUUGACGCAAGCCCAUGAAAACACACCUAACCCCCACAUAGAACUCUCACGAAGACCAUGGGUUAGUACACAAACACGUAAUGGACAAUGCUUACCAUACCAUGGGAUCACUUGAUCCCUCUCGGUACAUCUUGUAUGUUUUGUGUGUUGAUCAUAUUGAUUUACUCUUUGUCUGAGAUCUUGAUCAACCAUGUGUCUCUAUGACCAUUCUUUGGAUAAUACCUUGAAUACCAUCUUGGUCAUCAUAUAAACUCCUUGAACCCAACAGAUGGACUUCAAGAAGUGCCUAUGGACAAAUCCUAUAAAUGUAACUUAAGGCAACCAUUAGUCCAUAGGAAUUGUCAUCAAUUACCAAAACCACAUAUGGAGAUAUAUGCUCUAACACUCGACCCCGUAUCUAUGCACAGUGAAGGUCUCAGCACUAGAAUCUAUGGACCCCGACCUGGACCAAGUUGUCAGAUUCCUCAGAUGCUUUCGGUGCCUGGAGAAGCUAUAUAUCGAGGUGAUGAUCCUUUCAUGUUAAAUGUUAACCACAAUGGAGUUCAAUUUUGGAAACCUUGCAAAUCAAAUAGGUCCCUUGUGUGUCCAAGCACUAAUACCUUCUCUUCUUUUGCAGAUACGAUUAGGACACAUAGUGGAUAAUGUGAUACAAUAUAACAAUCCCGUCGAAUGCCUCGAUCUCUAUCUCUGAGAAAUUACUUUGAACUCCUAUCGAGGGACCUUACCGGAGAUUAAAUUUGCCAUGUUCUUUGUUGUGAUAGUAAGUGUGAUAAAGAUAAUGAGAUUUUCCCUNNNNNNNNNNNNNNNNNNNNNNNNNNNNNNNNNNCUACAUUUACUCCGCAAAAAAGAAUGGUUUGCUGAUCAGCUUCGGUGACUAGGACAGAAUGAAAAAGGCUCUACAGAAGCUCGAUUUCAUUUUGUAACUUCAGCUAAUAGACUAUUUGAAAGUCCUUAUGUCAAGCCCAUACAUGACAUGUCACUGGCGGAUCCCUUUGCGGAAAUAUUGAAGUUGUGAAUCUAGUUGUAACAUCAGCAUGAACCUCUCAUGUGUUCAUGUUCAGCUGAUCAGCGCGGGCAUCUCGAGCUGCAUGACAAAGUUUCUACAUAAGCUGAAUUUCAUUUCUAUUAUCGGUUUGAACCUUGUAAUCUUCGAGUUUGAGCCUUGUAAUUCUAGAAUUUGAAUUUUUGUACUACUUUUGUCAUUUAUGAUACAAUCAUUCAAAUGACAUCGUAUGAGACUCGUAUUUUGGUAGUACAAUUUUCCUAAGCGUGCAAUGUACGAUUAGUAUUUGGACCUUAAUAUGCAAUUGAUGGUUAAUAUCUCGACCUUAAGAAGCACAACCACGAUCGAGGGUAUCUUGCAGGGCUCCAAUGGCCCUCCGAGUGGCUGACGACGACGAGUGCGAGAUCACCAUGCAUGUCGUAGUGGAUACGCACAGAAGGUUCACGUACCGAGCUCUCGGUGGUGUACACCAACCAUCCGAUCUGGGUGGAGAACUCCUAUGUUAUGGACGUAUUGCUUGACAAGGACAUUACAAAAUGGUUUGGUUCGACCUUAUGUUCCUUGUGGCGCUCUACUCUCGCAUCCCUCUGCGUGCUCUGCUCUCGUGCCCCUCUGUGCAUGCUCUGCCAACGGUUGGGGCCUGCCCUCAAUCAUGUUCGGAGCUCCAUAUGCAUGCGGUUGCGCCACAUGUGUCGCCCCAUGCAGUUACGUGCUCCAUGAGUAAAUCACGCGCUGCAAAAACUGCCAUCCAGACAUGUCGGUUUUCCAGGACGUCUCGCUCUCAUUUAUACAUGCGGCCACUAAGCAUAGUCUCUUCAUGCUUUCGAUCGCACCCCACAACACAAUAAGCACACCCUCGACGACACAAUAAGCGGCACUCUAAUGGAGUUCGGCGUGCAUCAUGUGGACACCCACUUGAGUAAGACGGACCUCACGAUGGUGUACACCGUCGACCCGGCCGUGGUGGAGAACUCCAUCAACACCAUGCAGCUAUUGCUUGCUGCAGAUGACAAGUACAAAGUGGUCAGCUUCGACCUCGCGUACACCGGUGGUCGUGCCGGGCAUGAUGAGAAGGUUGUCUUGCCCAGUUGUGCGUGCGCCAUCACGCCCUCCUUUAUCACUACUGCCUGGCCACAAAGCCUUGCGAGUGUUUCACGAGGUUUGUCAACAACCACGACUACAGGCUUGCUACGGUGGACACCACCAACGAUCCAAAGGUGCUCAAGACUUCAGGCUAGGCAUGCUAGAAGCUUGUCGACAUCCACGACCACUACAAGGUCUGGGGAAGCAAGAAGGACAAGGAUUCCCAUGUUGACCUCGUCGUGGCCAUCAUUGACCCCUACUACAGAGACAUGAAGACCGAGUGCGACAAAAAUAAGCUUGUCUGGCACAAGGCGUGGGUGAGAGACCAGAUGAAUAUCACAUCUAGACCACGACCAAGGAAGCAUACGCAUGCUACGUGAUGUUCACGCAGAUUUUUGACAUGAUGAAGUGCCUCCUACCUGAAGACGAUGAGGGAUCAAGCCGCAAGCACAGUGAUGGCGGCAAGCGUCGCAAUAAGAAGAUGAUUUGAUGAUCGUUUCUUAUAGUUUAUUAUGCAUGUAAUAGUUUAUUGAGGUGGGCGCCAAUGUUAUGUGUGUAGUCACUUAUGUAUUUGGAUGCUUAAUUAGGUUAUGUAAUCAUGUUUUUAUGUGUGUAAUUGUUUAUUGAGGUGUUCCAAUGUUAUGUGUGUAGUCAUUUAUGUAUUUCAUGUUUAAUUUGGUUAUGCAAUAAUGUUAUUUGUUUGUGUUAUUUUCGCUCAUCGCACAUAAUUCAUCUGAGUUAUCUGUAUGUGCUACUGCGACAACAGACCUUCCCUCGCAAUGGCGCUAGGAAUUCUGCUGCUACGGGCUACGCCUAUAGGGACUUCCUUGGCAAAUAUGCAAAGGAUUUCCCCGCGGCCUUGGAGCCUUGCGUUGGUGUUCCCUUGAAGAGGAAAGGGUGAUGUAGCACAGCGGCGGUAAGUAUUUCCCUCAGUUUGAGAGCCAAGGUAUCGAUCCAGUGGGAGGAUCGCGUCAAGUCACAAGUACCUGCACAAACACAAAGAGCUUGCACCCAACGCUAUGAAGGGGUUGUCAAUCCCUUAUAGAUUGUUUGCAAAGUGAGAACUGAAAGCAAAGAGUAAACAAAGCAAAGUAAAAGUGAAAGUGGAGACGAUAGUUGUGAAUAGACCCGGGGGGCGUAGUGUUCACUAGUGGCUUCUCUCAUGAAAGCAAGUAGACGGUGGGUGAACGAAUUACCGUCGAGCAAUUGAUAGAACCGCGCAAAGUCGUGACGUUAUCUAUGGAAAUGAUUAUAUCUAUAGGCAUCACGUCCAAAACAAGUAGAUCGAUACUUUCUACAUCUACUACUAUUACUCCACACGUCGACCGCCAUCCAGCAAGCAUCUAGUGUAUUAAGUUCAAAAGAACAUAGUAACGCCUUAAGCAAGAUGACAUGAUGUAGAUGGACAAUCUCAAAUCUAUGAUGAAAUCCCAUCUUGUUACCCUUGAUGGCAACAACACGAUGCGUGCCUUGUUGCCCCUUCUGUCACUGGAAAGGUCACCACACGGUAUGAACCCAAAACCAAGCACUUCUCCCAUUGCAAGAAUCAUAGAUCUAGUUGUCCAAGCAAAACCCAAGACUCGGAGAGACUUACAAGGAUAUCAAAUCAUGCAUAUAAGAAAUCAACAAAGACUCAAAUAUAAUUCAUAGAUAAUCUGAUCACAAAUCCACAAUUCAUCGGAUCUCGACAAACACAACGCCAAAGUGGAUUACAUCGGAUAUAUCUCCAUGAAGAUCAUGGAGAACUUUGUAUUGAAGAUCCAAGAGAGAGAAGAAGCCAUCUAGCUACUAACUACGGACCCGUAGGUCUAAAGUGGACUACUCACGAGUCAUUGGAGAGGCGAUGAUGUUGAUGUAGAAGCCCUCCAACUCCAACGUCCCCUCUGGCAGGGCACCGGGAAGGGUCUCCAGAUGAGAUCUCACGGAAACGGAAGCUUGCGGCGGCGGAAAAGUGUUUUCGCGGAUGCCCUUAUUUUUUCUGCGAUUUUAGGGAAUUUAUAGGCCAAAGAGCUAGGGCAGGGGAGCGCCAGGGAGGCCACAAGCCUGGUUGCCGCGGGCCCCGUGGCCGCGGCAACAGGGCUUGUGGGCUCCCUGUGGGCCCCCUGCCUUGGCCCUCAAGUCCCCCGAUCUUCUUCAGUUCUGGAAAAAAAUAUUUCGGGGAUUUUAUUCCGUUUGGACUCCGUUCCAAAAUCAGAUCUGAAAAGAGUCAAAAACACAGAAAAAACAGGAACUGGCACUUGACACUGAAUUAUUAAGUUAGUCCCAAAAAAGAUAUAUAAGGUAUAUAAAACAUCCAAAGUUGACAAGAUAACAGCGUGAAACCAUCAAAAAUUAUAGAUACGUUUGAGACGUAUCAGUAUGUUGUUUAUCACACACUUAUUUAUUUGUGCACCAGUUUGUGUAAAAAAUCGUCGCAAACAGUUCAUCCAGGCAACAUGUUUGGUGCCUAUCGCACACGUCUUGAUUUGGGUGAUCGUUUGUGGUAUUUUAUGUCAUCACAAACACUUCAUCUGGCUCACCUGUAUGCCAUCAAUCACACACAUAAUCAUUUGGACAAUCGUUGGCGUUCUGCUUGAUCACUGCAAACAGUUUAUCUGAGUGAACUAUAUGUCGUACAUCGCACACACUUGUAUUUAGUUAACCGUCUGCAUUAUUUUGGUCCAUCACAAGCAGUUUCAGUGGGUCAAAUGUUUGUCGUAGAUCGUACACACAACUCUUUUAUGAAUCGUAUUUGAUGGAUCUUGUUGGGGAACGUCGCAAGGGAAACAAAAAAUUUCCUACGCGCACGAAGACCUAUCAUGGUGAUGUCCAUCUACGAGAGGGGAUUUCCGAUCUACGUACCCUUGUAGAUCGCACAGCAGAAGUGUUAGUGAACGCAGUUGAUGUAGUGGAACGUCCUCACGUCCCUCGAUCCGCCCCGCGAACCGUCCCACGAACCGUCCCGCGAUCCGUCCCACGAUCUAGUGCCGAAUGGACGGCACCUCCGCGUUCAGCACACGUACAGCUCGAUGAUGAUCUCGGCCUUCUUGAUCCAGCAAGAGAGACGGAGAGGUAGAUGAGUUCUCCGGCAGCGUGAUGGCACUCCGGAGGUUGGUGGUGAUCUGAUCUCGGCAGGGCUCCGCCCGAGCUCCGCAGAAACGCGAUCUCGAGGAAAAACCGUGGAGGUAUGUGGUCGGGCUGCCGUGGAAAAGUUGUCUCAAAUCAGCCCUAAUACGUCUGUAUAUAUAGGUGGGAGGGGAGGGGCCUUUCCUUGAGGUUCAAGGAGCCCCAAGGGGGUCGGCCGAGCCAAAGGGGGGAAGUCCUCCCCUUCCAAACCAAAUCCAACUAGGUUUGGAAGGUGGAGUCCUUCUCUCCUUUCCCACCUCCCUUUUUUUUUCUUUCUCUUUGAUUUCUUAUCCUUUGGCGCAUAGGGCCUUCUUGGUCUGUCCCACCAGCCCACCAAGGGCUGGUGCGCCACCCCCAAGGCCUAUGGGCUUCCCCGGGGUGGGUUGCCCCCCCCCCCCGGUGAACACCCGGAACCCAUUCGUCAUUCCCGGUACAUUCCCGGUAACUCCGAAAACCUUCCGGUAAUCAAAUGAGGUCAUUCUAUAUAUCAAUAUUCGUUUCUGGACCAUUCCGGAAACCCUUGUGACGUCCAUGAUCUCAUCCGGGACUCCGAACAACAUUGGUAACCAACCAUAUUACUCAAAUACGCAUAAAACAACGUCGAACCUUAAGUGUGCAGACCCUGCGGGUUCGAGAACUAUGCAGACAUGACCCGAGUGACUCCUCGGUCAAUAUCCAAUAGCGGGACCUGGAUGCCCAUAUUAGAUCCCACAUAUUCUAAGAUCUUAUCGUUUGAACCUCAGUGCCAAUGAUUCAUAUAAUCCCGUAUGUCAUUCCCUUUGUCCUUCGGUAUGCUACUUGCCCGAGAUUCAAUCGUCAGUAUCUGCAUACCUAUUUCAAUCUCGUUUACCGGCAAGUCUCUUUACUCGUUCCGUAAUACAAGAUCCCGCAACUUACACUAAGUCACAUUGCUUGCAAGGCUUGUGUGUGAUGUUGUAUUACCGAAUAGGCCCCGAGAUACCUCUCCGUCACACGGAGUGACAAAUCCCAGUCUCGAUCCAUACUAACUCAACGAACACCUUCGGAUAUACCUGUAGAGCAUCUUUAUAGUCACCCAGUUAUGUUGUGACGUUUGAUACACACAAAGCAUUCCUCCGGUGUCGGUGAGUUAUAUGAUCUCAUGGUCAUAGGAACAAAUACUUGACACGCAGAAAACAGUAGCAACAAAAUGACACGAUCAACAUGCUACGUCUAUUAGUUUGGGUCUAGUCCAUCACGUGAUUCUCCUAAUGACGUGAUCCAGUUAUCAAGCAACAACACCUUGUACAUAAUCAGAAGACCCUGACUAUCCUUGAUUAACUGGCUAGCCAACUAGAGGCUUGCUAGGGACAGUGUUUUGUCUAUGGAUCCACACAUGUAUAUAAGUCUUCAUUCAAUACAAUUAUAGCAUGGAUAAUAAACGAUUAUCUUGAUACAGGAAUUAUAAUAAUAACUAUAUUUAUUAUUGCCUCUAGGGCAUAAUUCCAAUAGAUCCACCAUCGCACACAGUUUGUGUCGUUGGUAACAGAGCUUGAACUAUACUGUUUGCGAUUGGUGUAUCGCACAGAGUUUCGUCGAAGGGUCUCUGAUUGAUGUGUCAUCUUUGGACCAUCAUGUAGUAGUGAGUGUUUGCUCUUUUUUGCAUAGGCGCUGAAGAUGGGGGUUGGGUGAUACUCCUAUUGGUUCGAUAACCUUGGUUCUCAAUGAGAGAAAUAAUUGUCUAUAUUGUGUUGCAUCAUCCCCUCCUCUUCGAGAAAAAAGCGCAAUGCAUAUCACAAGUAUCACGCACCCCCGACCUAAACAACACUAGGAUUUCAAUGAGGAAUAAGAAUGCCCACAUAUCAUUACUAUGCCAUAACCAAUAUUUAGAUGAACAACAAAUUAUCACCCUUUAACUAACGAUAUUUUUACUAACCAACAAUCAUGCACUCACGCCUUUUCAUAUUACCACAUCAAUAUCAUUAACUCACAUUUUUUAUGUGCUACAUGAAGGUUUUGAUUAUGCACUCUUUGAAUACCAAUUGUUUUUGGACUAGUAUUAUAAGCCAUGAAAAUUACCGUCACUGUUUAUUAACUCUCUGUUAGAGCAUAUUUCUCCAUAUGUGGUUUUGUAAUUGAUGACAAUCCCUAUGGACUAAUGGUUGCCUUAAGUUAUAUUUGAAGGAUUUGUCCAUAGGCACUUCUUGAAGUCCAUCUAUUGGUUUCAAGGAGUUUAUAUGAUGACCAAGGUGGUAUUCAAGGUAUUAUCCAAAGAAUGGUCAUAAAGACACAAGCUUGAUCAAGACUAAGACAAAGAGUAAAUCAAGAUGAUCAAUAUACAAAGCGUACAAGAUGUACCGAGAGGGAUCAAGUGAUCCCAUGGUAAGCGCUUUUGUGUACUAACUCAUGGUCUUCAUGAGAGUUCUAUGUGGGGUUAGGUGUGUUUCCAUGGGUUUGCGUAAAGAGGAAGAUCUCAUUCAACCUAUGAAGGAUGACAUCAAGUGGUGGUCGUCGUCAAGAUUGCGGUGUGCAAGUUCAAGCGGAGCAUCAUGAAGAUAUCAGGCUUGAAGCUUAUCGUCCAUUGUGGUGGCAAUGAACUUGUGAAGAUGUGUUGAAGAGUGGCUCACCCAUAGUUAGUAUGGGGGAGCAAACAACUAGUCUUCAUCAAACCAACACAAUCAAGAAAGGUAGUCCAUCUUGAGGAAGUCAAGAUCAUCAUCAUCUAGCUCAAGAGGACUAGGUGCAAGGUAUAGGUUUGACCUUGAUAGGCUUUUCUAUUUUAGGAUAGAUUGUCGUACUGUCAAGGGGGGCUGAUACGUCUCCGUCGUAUCUACUUUUCCGAACUUUUUUGCCCUUGUUUUGGACCCUAACUUGCAUGAUUUGAAUGGAACUAACCCGGACUAACGUUGUUUUCAGCAGAAUUGCCAUGGUGUUGUUUUUGUGCAAAAAUAAAAGUUCUCGGGAUAUCCUGAAAAUUUACGGAGAUUUUUCCUGGAAUAAAAGAAAAAUACUUGCGCAAAGAUCUACCAGAGGAGGUGGACCAGUGGGCCACAAGCCCACAGGCCGCGGCCACCCCCCCGGCCGCGUCGUGAGGGCUUGUGGGCCCCACGUGGCUCCACCGCCCCCAAACUCAGCUCUAUAUCUUCCGUCUCGCCCGGAAAAAAAUCAGAGAGAAGGUUUCAUCGCGUUUUGCGAUACGGAGGCGCCGCCACAUCAUGUUCUUCAUCUGGAGGGCAGAUCUGGAGUCCGUUUCGGGCUCCGGAGAGGAAAAAUCGUCGCCAUCGUCAUCAUCAACCUUUCUCCAUCGACAAUUCCAUGAUGCUCUUCAUCGUUCGUGAGUAAUCUCAUCGUAGGCUUGCUGGACGGUGAUGAGUUGGAUGAGAUCUAUCAUGUAAUCGAGUUAGUUCUUGACGGGGAUUGAUCCCUAGUAUCCACUAUGUUCUAGAUUGAUGUUGCUACUACUUGGCUAUGCUUAAUGCUUGUCACUAGGGCCCGAGUGCCAUGAUUUCAGAUCUGAACCUAUUAUGUUGUCGCCAAUAUAUGUGUGUUUUAGAUCCUAUCUUGCAAGUUGUAGUCACCUACUAUGUAUUAUGACCUGGCAACCCCGGAGUGACAAUAGCCGGAAACACUCCCGGAGAUGACCAUAGUAUGAGGAGUUCAUGUAUUCAUCGUGUGUUAAUGCGUUGGUACGGUUCUUUAUUAAAAGGAGAACCUUAAUAUCCCGUAGUUUCCAUUAGGACCCCGCUGCCACGGGAGGGAUGAACAAUAGAUGUCAUGCAAGUUCUUUUCCCUAAGCACGUAUGACUACAUACGGAAUACAUGCCUACAUUAGAUUAACGAAUGGGAGCUAGUUACUUAUCUCUCCAUGUUAUAGCUGUUACAUGAUGAAUCACAUCCAUCACACUCAUCCAUCACUGAUCCACUGCCUACGAGUCUUGUACUACUGGUCCUUGCUACGUUACUUUGUCUAGGCUUGUCCCUUGCUACAAAAGGGAUUGGGACCCUUUGCUACUACUGUUGCUACUGCUGUUACUUGUUGCAAGAUCUUUUCCGACACUGUUGUCGGGGAAGAAUAGUUACUCGUCCACGUGCAACCUUCUGGCGCCAUUGAUACAACAGUUAGGAAUAGUCUGCCGUCAACAGAUCGUUUGUGGCACUGUUGCUAUCAUACUACUUUACUACUGAUACUUUGCUUACAGACACUAAUCUUUCGGGUGUGGUUGAAUCUGACAAACUCAGCUGCUAAUACUUGAGAAUAUUAUUUCACUUCUUCUUUGGUGAACCAACGAAUUUGGGUUGAAUACUCUACCCUCGAAAACUGCUGCGAUCCCAUACGCUUGUGGGUUAUCAAGGCCUUUUUCUGGCGCCGUUGCCGGGGAAGCACAGCUAUAUUCUCUGAGUCACUUGCGAUUCACGUCUGCUGGUCAUUAUGAGGAAUCCAAAAGAUCCAAGAACUAAAAUCCUACCUUCCACUACGAGGAGAGGUAAGGAACUGCCAUCUAGCUCUGCACUUGAUUCACCUUCAGUUUUGAGUAAGUUUGCGACUUCGUCUCGUGCUAGAAAUCUCGAUACUAUGCCUGAUGAUGCUAUGAUUGAUACUAUGCAUGAUGAUGCUAUGCUUGAUACUAUGCCUGAUGAUGCUAUACUUGAUACUAUGCAUGCUAUGCUUGAUACUGCUUUGCCACUUGGUGCAUUCCUUGAUGCACAUAUUGCUAGAGCUGCUGCUAGAUGUGAUGAUACUUCUGAAAUUGCUGAUACUAUUGAAGUAGAACCUGCUACUAUGCAUGAAUUGCCUGUUAUGCCUGAUACGCGCUAUGUUAUGGAGGGAGAGAUAGCUGAGGACUUUCUUGCGUGUAAGGAUAGCUAUGAUGUUGAGAAACUACUGCGCAAGUGGAAGGAAAAAUCUCUAAACGCUAGGAUGAAAUACGACCCAAAGUUUGCUACUUCGUCUAUUUUUGUGACCGAUAAGGAUUAUGAAUUCUCUGUCGACCCUGAAUUAAUCACUCUGGUCGAAUCUGAUCCUUUUCACGGUUAUGAGUCUGAAACGGUUGUAGCCCAUCUUACCAAACUCCAUGAUAUAGCCACCCUAUUCACUAGUGAGGAAAAGAUCCGCCACUACUAUAUGCUCAAGUUGUUUCCUUUCUCGCUAAAGGAUGAUGCUAAGACUUGGUUCACUUCUCUUGCUCCUCGUUGUGUGCGUAGCCCCGAAGAUAUGGUCUACUACUUCUCUGAAAAAUAUUUCCCUGCCCAUAAGAAGCAAGCUGCCUUGCAGGAAAUAUACAACUUUGCUCAAGUUGAGGAAGAGAGUCUCCCACAAGCUUGGGGGAGGCUUAUCCAGCUACUGAAUGCCUUGCGUGAUCACCCUCUUGAGAAGAAUGAGAUACUUGAUAUCUUCUAUAAUGGACUUACCGAUGCUUCCAAAGACCACCUAGAUAGUUGUGUUGGUUGUGUUUUUAGGGAACGAACUGUAGAACAAGGUGAGAUCCUAUUGAAUAACAUCUUGUGCAAUGAGAAUGCUUGGACUAGUCCUGAACCACCUCCUAAGCCAACUCCGAAGAAAAGAGGUAUUCUAUUCCUCAGUCCUGAAGAUAUGCAAGAAGCCAAGAAAUCUAUGCGAGAGAAAGACAUUAAAUCUGAAGAUGUCAAAAAUCUACCACCUAUCGAAGAGAUCCAUGGUCUCGAUAACCCGAUACAGGUAGUAGAAGUAAAUUCUCUGCGUAGGUUUGAUGAGAGUGAUAUUCCUUUUGAUAAACCUGCUAGCUCAUGCAUGGAUGAAUUUGAUAACUUUGUUGCCAAACAACAGAGUUUCAAUGAUUAUGUUAGCAGACAAUUGGAAAAGAAUGCUCGUAUGCUUAGUCAUUUAAGUGCUUGUGUGGACAGAAAUGUCAAUGAUCUUAAGCUCCUGAGUAAACAUGCCUCUAUGGUUACUACUCAGGUAGAACAAGUACUUAAAGCUCAGAAUGACUUGCUCAAUGAGUUGAAUGAUAAUUCUGUUAGAGUCGACACUAGAGGCGGUAGAAUGACCCAGGAACCUUUGUAUCCUAAGGGUCAUCCGAAGAGAAUUGAACCAGAUUCUCAAGGAGUUAGCACUGAUGCACCUAGUCAUCCUAGAAAGAAGAAGAAAGAUGAUAGGAACCUGCACGCUAGCAACCAUGUUGCUGCUACACCUGAGAGUCCAAAUGAUGCCUCCGUCUCUGAUGUUGAAACACAAUCUGGCGAUGAACAUGAGCCUAAUGAUAAUAUCAAUAGUGAUGUUCAUGUUGAUGCUCAACCUAGCAACGAUAAGGAUGUGGAGAUUGAACCUGAUCUUGAUAACCCAUAGCCUAAGACUAAGAGAUACGAUAUGAAUGACUUCGCUGCUAGGAAGCAUGGUAAAGAAAGGGAGCCAUGGGUUCAGAAACCCAUGCCCUUUCCUCCCAAACUAUCCAAGAAAAAGGAUGAUGAGGAUUUUGAGCGCUUUGUUGAAAUGAUCAGACCUGUCUUUCUGCAAAUGCGUUUGACAGGUAUGCUCAAAAUGUCUCCGUAUGCUAAGUACAUGAAAGCUAUUGUGACUAAUAAGAGGAGGAUACCUGAGGUUGAGAUUUCCACCAUGCUUGCUAAUUAUACCUUCAAUGGUGGAACUCAGAAGAAACUAGGUGAUCCCGGUGUGCCCACUAUACAUUAGAGCUGUGUUAUGCGACCUUGGAGCCGGUGUUCGUGUUAUGCCUCUCUCUCUCUCUCUUUAUCGUAGACUUGAACUGGAUAAGUUGACACCCACUGAAAUCUCUCUGCAAAUGGCCGACAAAUCAACUGCUUUCCCUAUCGACAUUUGUGAGGAUGUGCCUGUUGUGGUUGCUAACGUCACUAUCUUAACAGACUUUGUUAUCUUGGAUAUUCCUGAGGACGAUGCCAUGGUGGUCAUCCUCGGAAGACCCUUUUUAAACACUGCAGGGGCUGUUAUAGAUUGCAACAAAGGCAAUGUCACUUUCCAUGUCAAUGGUAAUGAUCAUAGAGUGCACUUUCCGAAGAAACAAUAUCGAGUACAUUGCAUCAAUGCUAUCGAAAAAACCUCAUCGAUUCUUAUUGGGAGCUUUUAAUGCCCUAUUCCUCGUGUCAAGAUGAAGUAUGAUUUGCUUGUUGGGGAGAUACACAUCCCCAUUGAGGUAACCUAGUGACUAUUCAAAAAUUCUCCAUUCUCUUUUGCGAUUCGAAAAGGUUUGUCAAAGAGGCCUGAUCAACCUCACUGACGGAUUUCUUUCGAUGACCAUGAGAUGGAUGAAUCGAGGAGUCACAAACCUUUGUUCCAAGCUUUCACCUUCGGUUGCUUAGAAGAAAAAUGAUAGAUUUAGUUUAGUUUUCCCUGUUUUCUGUUUUAGCGCCCGAUAGAAAAGUACCCCAAAAAUAAAAGUUCUCCCAACGUCCUGAAAAUCAAGUAUGUUUUUUUCUGGAUUUUUUGAAAAAUUCUGAGACAAAGAGCUUGUGUGGGGGCCACACCAGUGGGCCCCAAGCCCUAGGGGCACGGGCACCCCCCUAGUCGCGCCACCCAGGCUUGUGGGGCCCACAGGCACCCCCUCCACUCAUUCUUGCUCUUAUCUCCUUCUCCUACCUCCAGAAAAAUCGUUUCGCAGCUCAAACCCGUGUUCUUGCUCCUCUUGCUGGGAUUUUCGAUCUCUUUGCUCAAAUCACCGUUCUCCAAACUGUUUUGGGGAAAUUACUCCUUGGUAAGUGACUCCUCCAUUGGUCCAAUUAGUUUUUGCUCUAGUGCCUUAUACUUCGCGUAUUUUUGCUGCCUUGGUGACCAUGUUCUUGAGCUUUGCAUGCUAAUUUUAGCUGGUCCCAAGUAGUUUUGAUGCGUAAUAUGGCCUCUAGGCACUUGUGGGAGUAGUUGCUACGAGUUUCGUUGAACCUUGUUCACCUUUCCUUAGAAUCACUGAAAAUUUCAGAAAAGGAAGAUGUUCAGGAGAAACUUUCAUGGUGGUUUCUCAAGCAAGAGAGGUCCCCGUCUUGUGAUUCGGGAGCCUGAUCCUUACCAACCAAGGGAUGCACACGUACAACCAUGUGAAUGGCCUUCUGAUGAAUUUAUGAUUGAGGCAGGUUUCAAAGAUGAGUUUGAUGCACUUGUUCACAACGUCGGACUCGAAGAGUUCAUCUCCGAUAAAUGUGGACAACAUGUUGCUCUCACUGCCUCUUUUGUUCGUAGAUUCAAAUUUUUAGCUGGCCGUGAGACAUCGGUACUGUUUGAUCUCUAUGAUAAAUCUUAUACCAUGGAUUUAGAGGAUCUCAGUAGAAUUUGCAAAAUACCUAUUUGGGGUAGCCUCAAUGAUCCUCCUAAAUCUUCGGUUAGAGAUUUUUGCUCUAGUAUUACCGUUGGAGAAACUAGAGACAUUACGCAAGCUACCAUGGGGGGUAUUCAUUUUCCUGCCUUGCAUUACUUUGCCCUCUUCAUAGGCAGAUGCAUUAAUGGAAAGAUUGAGCAUUGUCACCUCUGUGCACCUGACCUUAGUAUCCUUAAGAGCGCAGUGACAUGUGACAAAAGCUUCAACAUGGGAGCUAUUAUAGCAAGGAGGCUGAAUAAGAAUGCUAAUGAAGGGGAUUUCUUUGGUGGGAUCUAUGCCACUUGCAUAGCAAAUUUUCUUGGAGUACCCAUCCGCGAAGGAGAUCCCCGGCUCCAUACAGCUUUCCUUGACCGCGUCGCUUUGAAACGCUACCGGUUCCUUGAGAGGGAUGGUGAAUCCCUCCUAUACCGAUUGAUAUUUAACCGGCAACGUGUUUUCCAUAUUACCCUUCCUGCUCCUGCCUUCUUUGACUUUCAGGUAAAACGGAGAUAUUACAUAACCAGAGGAGAGGCAGAGGAGUAUGAGAGGGAGGCAAAGGCUGCUCGCCUCCGUGAGGCAGCUAUUCAGGCAGUGGCUGCAGCAUUCCCGUAUAACCCCCAUUAUGAUUUUGGGUUUCACCAGGACCAUCCUUGGGAGUAGACCAAGUUAGGCCAAAAGCCUAAGCUUGGGGGAGUACGUGUUCUCACCAACUUUACAUUCUUGCUUACGCUUUCACUUUGUUCGUCGGUGUUCACACUUUGCCACUGUAUCAUCCAUGUUAGUUUAUUUUCUUUUUCUUGUUUUCUUUUCGUGUGUCUGUCCAGUUUGAGAAAACCCAAAGAGAUUUUCUUUUCUUUUUUUUCUUGUUGGGAGCUUUGCCGUGUAGAUAGUUUUCUUUUUCUUUGGGUCAAGGUAGAAGAUAUUGGUUACAAUGUUUAGUGGCUCUUGCAUGCAUACCUGUUUAGCUUUCAAAGAGCCAUAUUACUUUGUCUUCUCCUUUGUGUUUGCCUGCAGAUUCCAGCAUAGUCCAAUGCACGAGCACUCUUAUUAUUGUUCACAUCGUUCGGUCGUGCAAGUGAAAGGAAAUAAUGACGAUAUAUGAUGAAGUGACUGAGCCUGGAAAAGCUGGUAUGAACUCGAUCUAUUUUGUUUUUGUAAUUAUGACUAGCUCAUCUUGCGUGAUUCAGCUUUGUUGUGAGAAAACAUGUUCACAAUGACAACUUAGAGAUCAUAGUUGCUUAUGCCAUGCUUACUUAGCUAGGAGCUUAUAAUGGUUUGUCUUGGAUGCCCACAUGAAUGUUGAGAUGACUAUGAUGUAGUGUGAUAGGAUGGUAUCCUCCUUUGAAUGGUUCAAGUGGCUUGACUUGGCGCAUGUUCACACAUGUAGUUGAAACAAAAUCAACAUAGCCUCUAUGAUGUUCAUGUUCAUGGUGAUUUAUGUCCUACUCAUGCUUGCACUCAAUGUUAGUUAAUCUCAAUGCAUUUUGAUGACUGUUAUCGCUCUCUAGUUGGCCGCUUCCCAGUCUUUUGCUAGCCUUCACUUGUACUAAGUGGGAAUACUGCUUGUGCAUCCACUCCCAUAAACCCAAAGUUGUGCCAUAUGAGUCCACCAUACCUACCUAUGUGCGGUAUCCACGUGUCGUUCCAAGCAAAUUUGCAUGUGUCACUCUCUAAAUCUUCAAGAAAUAAUCUGUUUUGCAUGCCCGAACCGCUCAUGUGGUGACAAGGGGCUAUUGGUAUCUUCCAUGCUAGGCGUGUUAUCCUCGAUAUGUGUUUAUUCAUUAUCAUUCACGAGAAAGGGGCCAGUAAUUGGAAUUCCCAGUUCCAUGCUCAAAUCGAAAAGAUAAUUGCAAACAAAACUCCCCCAGGAUUGAUGUUGGUAUGGACGGUACCCGAGGAUUCGGCUAGCCGUGGAGUGUGAUUGAUUGGUGGUGGGGGAGUCAAAACUUUACUUUUCUGUUUGGGAACCACCUAUAGCAUGUGUAGCGUGGAAGAUGUUGAGAACUCUUAGUCAUUGCGUUGACAAUGAGAGCAUGCCACCAAGAAUUAUUAUCUCUGUUUUAAAAGCUUGAGCUCUGGCACCUCUGCAAAUCAAUGCUUCCCUCUGCGAAGGGCUUGUCUAUUUAUGUUCCUCUUGAGUCAUCCUCCUCUUACAAAAGCACCAAUUAGAGAGCACCUCUAUUAUUUUUAUGCUUUGCUUUUAACUGUGUUGAGUAUGACUAUGACUGGAUCUUCAUUGCCUUGAAUUACAAUGUUUAGUCAGCCCUUGGUAUUUGAAGGUGCUUUGCAUUUAUGUUUUGCGGUCUCAGAAAGAGCUAGCGAGAUACCAUCUGUUCGUACUGCUUCAUGAUUGUUUUGAUUGAAGUGUUGACGUUUGAGCCUUAUCAUUAUUUGCUCGCUAGUUGAUUAUGCCAUUGAUAUGAGUUUACCUGAGACCUAGAUGUCAUUUGCUUAUGUGGUUUGCUUGUGUUCUUGCUGAAAUUCUGGUUAUGAGUUAGACAUAGUUGCAACCACAAGAUCAAACAGAGUUCGUCAAAGUUUUUCUUUUGUCUCUCUCAGUUUGUCAACUGAGUUGCUUGAGGACAAGCAAGGCUUUAAGCUUGGGGGAGUUGAUACGUUUCCGUCGUAUCUACUUUUCCGAACUCUUUUGCCCUUGUUUUGGACUCUAACUUGCAUGAUUUGAAUGGAACUAACCCGGACUAACAUUGUUUUCAGCAGAAUUGCCAUGGUGUUGUUUUUGUGGAGAAAUAAAAGUUCUCGGAACAUCCUGAAAAUUUGUUGAGAUUUUUUCUGGAAUAAAAAAAAAUACAUGCGCAAAGAUCCAUCGGAGGAGGUGGACCAGUG
RNAcentral lists this long non-coding RNA (77586 nucleotides) under Hordeum vulgare. RNAcentral's name for it is "long non-coding RNA (HVUL_LNC013347)". The stretch from base 24284 to 24407 matches the Rfam family "MIR1120/MIR1122 microRNA precursor family". The record is from RNAcentral. Lineage: Eukaryota; Viridiplantae; Streptophyta; Magnoliopsida; Poales; Poaceae.